This 48233-nucleotide long non-coding RNA is filed under the name Citrus maxima (pomelo). RNAcentral's name for it is "long non-coding RNA (CMAX_LNC003909)". The record is from RNAcentral. Lineage: Eukaryota; Viridiplantae; Streptophyta; Magnoliopsida; Sapindales; Rutaceae.
AUACCAUAUACAGGUACUGGAGUACUCUCUGACCGCUCACUCUUACAUGAAAGUUUAAUAUUAGAAAAUGAAUUCAUAAAUGCAUAUAUUAAAAUAUGAAUUGUAAAUGAUAUCUAUUCAGCUGAAAUUGGCUUGAAACCUGCGCAAGGAGGAGUUUCUAUGUUCUUAUCUCUGCUUUGACUGAUACAUAUAGAUUCAAGAAGCCGACGUUGCCAACGUGUGGGCAAUUGUGACCUAGCAAAACAUCUAAUAGUUAGUUAAAUUCCACCUGCGACACGUGGGAGCAUGGGUCCACAAAACAAAUAAUUGGAACUAAUUAGAACAGAAAUCGAUUCGGUAACCCGCCGCCGCAUGCACUUUCUAAAAGUUUUAAAUUUAUGAAUUGAAACUACCGACGCCUUUUUAUGUUUGGUUAAUUAUACAUAUAGUUCGAGCUGAGGGAUACAUACAGUAGUAGAGUCUUUAAAAUGGUACAAUACCUAAUCAACGUUGAUAUAUACUAAGUUACAGGGGCCAUCGAUGACAUACGUAGAUAAUUUUCUGUAAUUGUUGCUUGAUUCCCAUAUAUAUAUAUAUAGUUCUUUUCUAAAGGAUGUUAUUAAAUUAUAAAAAACGCAUAUUUCAAUACACUAAAAAUUAUAUAUUUUUUUAUUUAUUAGUAUAUUGAAAUUUAUGUUUUUAUUUUUUACUGACAUCCCUAACAUCCUCACUUUUACCCUCAUUAGAGAAUUACAAUAGUGGUAUAUCUAGGACAGCUAUUUGAGAGUUUGAUUAUUUGAGCAAGUAAUUUUAAUUUUUGUUGACUGGAUUUAGAGUAGUAUGUUAUUAGAGUCUUUCCAUUUGUAUUUUAGGUAGAAUUUUACUUCUAUGUUUGAGUGUACAUUGUCUAGUAUAUUUACUCGGUUAUAAAUUGGGUGGUUAUGUAAUAUGUUUGAAAAUCUUUAAUUAAUAAAAUUUUUAUUUUAUUUUUUUCAUGAAAUUAUUUAUCUAAAUCUCUCUUAUAAAAUCGUUUACAUUAGAGCAUUAAUUAAUCUUAUAACUUUGAUGUAUUAUUUGCCUUGGACUUUUAUUUUGGUCUAUCACUAUAUUAUUUACCUUUGGCUGUCUCACCAUUUUCGUGUAAUAUUAUCUGCAUUGAGUCAUAUUUUUGUAUAGAGUGGUGAUAUUUAUCUCAUCAGUUUUUAUAUUAAUUUCUAUUUUGCCGUUGUAUUAAAUUAUUUGCUUUGGUGAAUUGCUAUAUUGUUUGCCUUGGGCCGUCUCACCAUUUUGGUGUGUAAUCUGCCUUGGGUCAUUCAUUUUUGUAUAGAGUGGUGAUGUGAUCUCAUCAGCUUUUAUAUUAAUUUCUGUUUUGCCAUGGUAUGAAAUUAUUAAAAAGGAUAUUGAAGAGUUUCUUGCCACAAAUCGAACCUGCAUCUCUGUUAAGCAUUACUCUUGCAUUUCCACGGAAAAGGCAGUAAGUCAAUGGCCUAAAUUCAUGGUUCAUUUCAUAUUAUGAAGUUUCUUUCUUCAGGAUGAUUUCGUCUGGAAUUCUCCUAAUUUGCUUCCAAAAAUCCACUUGCCACAUAGCCUUUGCAGCUGGUAGUGGCUUGUAUGCUUGUUGGAUUAGUCAGAAAAAUCAAUUGGCAUUGGUCACAAUUUUUUUAUUCGAGCUGAGGGAUACAUACAGUAGUAGACGUCGUGUACUAUGUAUGUUCUCUUUCUCAUAUAUAUAAAUAUAGUAAGAGAUAUAUAUGGCUUUUAUUUAAUUCUCAAUAUCAUAGGCGGUAAACAUGGACUCUUGGCUUAAAGACAAUAUGAACAUGAAACCAUUUCACGUGGGUGAUCAAUUAUAUAACUUUCAUCCUUCUUACGGAAGUCAGAAGAGGUGUGUACCUACCACAUCAACCGUGUCAAGCGAAGAUAUUGGACAUUUAAUAAUGAAAAAAUUAGGAAUUUUCAUGGACACACCAGUAGGUUCCGUAAAUAUAUAGAAUCAAUUGAUUCUAGGUACCUUACAAUGUGACUUUUUUUUUUUUUUGUCCCUGAAGAUCCGGACUAUUUUUGAGGAUACUGGCCGUUGAGGCUUUGUUUGUAAUUGUGCAAGAAAAUGGAAAAGAAUGGGCUAAAGCGCAAAAAGUAAAGCUAACAGUUGUUUAAUUUAAUUUUUUAAGAUUGUUUUGAUGUGGAAUUUGAUUUGGGAACUUUUUUGUAAUUACAAGAAACAGCCACACAGGGUGACAAUUAUGGCAUUCUUUCGUCAAUUGGAUAUUAAUAGUACAAUGAGGAUGGCUAAAUGCAUAAUCACCCUAUUAAUCUUGCAGUCCAAAGCAAAAGCAAAAUAGCAUUACAAACAGUAGAACUCUCAGAUUGAUUCACUGUAUCUAAACGAUAGGUCAUCUCAUUACUAAACUAUCUGACGUAACUGAUUCAGAAAUUUAAUUUAGAGAGGGCUUGGUACAAAUAAAAUAAUUCACGAGGCGCGUUCGAUGGUGCAAGUGAUCGGCGGCAACAACAAGCAAGUAAGGUAAUGAUGAUGUAUAUGUUGGAAAUAUGAAUUCAUAUUGUUUAUUAAAAGUUCAAAACAUGAAUAAUAGUUGUUGCUACUGUUCACUUCACUGUUUAUUAAUACUAUUAAUCAUACUGUUCACUUAGCAACAAUUGUAAAUUUGUCAAGGCGUGUUCGAACUGUCCUUAAAACAAAUUUCAGCUCUUCUAGAAAGAUUUCUCGAUGCAAAAAGGAUAUAAAUAAAAUGGAUUGAGCUCCAUGAUACAAUGAUAUUGUUGCCAGGUUGCACUCCAAGUACAAUAGUUUAGAAAAGAAAAAUUAAUGAAGAAACUAUGAGAUAGAAGGAGAGGAUAUAGUGGCUGUGCCUUGAAGACUUUGUAUUUUAAAAUACCAAUAAAACUCGAAGAAUAAACUUAAAUAAUUUGGAUCAAGAUUGCACUUUAAGAUGAAACACUAAUUAGUGGCCUUUAUGUAUAACUUAAUAAUUUGAUAAAUAACUUCGCACUAGCAAAGCCAAGAGUUUCAUUUAAACCCCUAAGAUUCAAAUAUUCUUUCCCCCUUUACUACUGGCAAAAUUUGGCAAUCGAUAUUUCGGAAGACAUCACACAUGUCAAAAAAAAAAAAAAAUAGCUAGUCCCAUCAAAAUCACCAAAUGCAAUCCAAUAACAUGCUCCACUUAAGUAUAGACUUUCAUGAGAAUCGACGGAAAAAAUAAAUAAUAAUAACUUCAUUUAGUUAAGCAAAUAACAAUUUGUGAUUGUUCGUUAAUCUUAUUAAUAAUCUAAUUCUUAGUUUCUUACUAUUGUUCUUUUACUUGAUUAUAUUGUCGAAUCUUUCUGAAAAAGAUUGUUUUUGUAAUUGACAUGUUUAAAGUUUAAACAAAAAAAAAAAAGAACUAAAUCCAAAUCAAAUAUAAAUACAAAUCCAGGUUCUAAAAAAAUCAAGUACAAAUACAAAAUCUAAAUUCUAAAACUUAAAGUUUCAAAGCGAACAUCAAGGAAUCAACAUCCCACGAAGCAACACGAACGGCGAAGGCGAGCUAGUUCAACCUGUAUCGGGGCUGGUUACUGGUCGCGAUAGCAGCUAGUGAUGAUGAACAUUGAACACAGCCACGAUCACGAUUAGCGAAGGUGGCGUUCAACUCGUAUCACAACUUGUUACUGGUUGUGACAGAGAAGAAGAAAUGAUGGCUGAUGAUGAUGAUGAGAUUAACACAACCGCAAAGAUAGUGAAGCGAUGACGACGAUGAUUUAAUUUGAUGAAGAAAAGACCUGAAAAGAGACAGACAGGAAAUGUUUGGCCUUGGCAGCCGCAGCUAUGAAUGCAAGUAGGGCACUUGGGCUUUUUUUGUAUUUUUCUAAUUGUAUUAUAUAAUCUAAAAAAAUUAAUAUUAAAAUAAAAGCUUCCGGGUCUAGAUUCUGUAUCUAUGGGUUAACAUAAACCCAGACCCGGACCUGGAUACGUCUGGGUUCAUUAAAUUGCAUCCGAAUUCCAUAUAAAAUUUGCUCCAGUAUGGGUUGAAGCCAGCCUAUUCUCUGGGUUCAUCUAGGUUUGGGCGGGGAUCGGAUUAAAUUGGCAUCGCUUUUAUGUCCAAAUUAUCAAUAAGAUCCUUUGGUGUUAGUAAAUUCCUUUAUCACGUAAAUGGUUUCAAUUUUGAACAUAUUAGUCCUAUUCCAAUUUUCAACCGUUCCCAAUUUUAUAACUCCAUUUAUUAAUAACAUUGUCUUAAAAGUUCAUCAUUGCACGGCACUAGAAUGAUUAUAAGGUUUAAUAUUUUUGAAUUAUGAAGCUCGUUCUCAGUAAGACAAGGCUAUUUGCACUCUAAAACUUAGUCUAAACAAUCUGUCACCUUGGAUACUCAUGUACUAAAUUUAAAAAGAUUAAGUUUUAUUUUCUUCACACUUUAAAAUACCUAAAAAGACCUUAUUGAAACUCGCUAAAUUAAUUUACUCAAAACACCAAUCAAACUAUUUAGCACAUCCAAAAUGAAUUAGUAAUAAUUUAGAAUACACUGCAAUGGAAUCAAAGUAUGUUCUAAAGAAAUUUUUUUAACAUAAGUUUUAUUUAUUAGCUUUUGUUUAUUAAAGAAUAUGUUCAGCAUUGGUUUUUAAACCCCAAACUUUUAACCCAACAAUUGGAAAAAAUGGUUAUUUGGCCCAAAAAGGGAAAAAAAGAAAGAAAGAAAGAAAGAAAGAAAGCAAGAAAGAAGAAAAGAACACAAAGAAGAAGGAGAAGACUGCAAAAAAUAUUUUUAAAAAACUAAAAAGCAUAAAUAUGUUCAAAAUAUAUUAAAAGUAUUCAUUUGCUCCUAGCUCCUAGUUUAACUAAAUAUUGUUUAAGAGAUUGGAAAUAAAAUUUCUAGGGCUUAUGCCAAAAGAAUUAUAUAUUCAAUAACAAGUGUGCUAUAUGAGUAUUUAGAGUAAUUAUAUAAUGUUAAUUUAUAAGAAAGAGUCCUUAUUAGUAAUUCAUAUGAUGUGUAUUUUUGUAAUAGAAUAAUUUAUUAAAAUAAAAAUGUGCAGAAUAUUUUUUGUAUUGUAAAUAUGUAAAUAUUCUCACCCUUCUCAAUAUAUUGACUUGAGUGAUAAUUUUAAAUUGCAUCAGAAUGAGCUAAAAGAAGAGGAAUUGUCGAAAUUCAGCUUAUGGCAAUUGAACAAUUAAUGGUUAAGAAAUACAGUAAAUCAAUAAUACUAAAACAUAAACAUAAUAAUUAAAGACUACCAUUAAAAUCUUUUUAGGAAUUUAUCUUGCAAACCAUCUAUUAGACGUCAAAAAUAUAAUUAGCCACCAAAAAUUUAAGAUAAUAGCUCUGCACUGUUGAGUGUUAGAAAAUGUAUAUUUAUAAAGGAGAAAAUCGUCAUUUUACACUUCCAAGUUUUACUAACACUUAUACUUUUAUGUAUUUUAGUCUCUUGUAAUUUAAUUAUGUGUAUUUGAUUUUAAUUAUGUAUUUUAUGCAUUUUAGGAGUUUCAUGGUCAUUUCACAAUGAACGAGAGCGGCAAAACGACAAAACGGACAUCACUUUUGAUGAAACUUAUUUUAAGCAGAUAGUGGGAAGUCUCAUGUACCUCACCACCACUAGACUUGAUAUGAUGUUCAUUGUGAGUUUAAUUAGUCGUUACAUGUCUAAGCCUAUAGAGCUACAUCUGCAAGUACCUGAAAUAGCUCUUAGGUACUUGAAUGGCACAAUAAACUAUGAGAUACUUUACAAGAAGGGUGGAGCUGAAGAGCUUCUUGCAUUCACUGACAGUGAUUACGUCAGGGAUGUCGAGGAUAGGAGAAGCACCUCAGGAUAUGUUUUUUUAAUGAAUUCUGGAGUUGUGUCCUGAUUGUCAAGGAAGCAACCACUAGUCACUUUUAGAGAUGGCCAACAGGCCGUGCCGUGCCGGCCCAGACCCAUCCAAGGAAGCCCACACGUGCUGGUGCUCGUGUUGUGCCUAAUUUUUGUUGCUUAGGCCUGGCUCAGCACCACUGAUACCGUGCCCACACGUGUCGUGCCGUGCCGUGCCCAGGAAAAAAAGCCCACUAAGUUUUUUUCAUUUUUUAUUUUUUUAAAAGCGUAUGCCAAGUUGUUGUCUUAUUUUUUUUAAGCCUAUGUACUUUUUUGGAUCCAUGUGCCUUUAUUCAAAUUUAAUAGAAUCAAAAAUUCAAAACUCAAGUCUAUAUUCAAUAAUAAUAAAUUAAUAAUAAUAAGAGAAUGUAAUAUUAGUUACUAAAUUUGACGUUGUGGUAUUAGAAUUCUUUUUUAGUACCUAACAACAACAAUAAUAAUUUUUUUAAGGGUUAACUUAAUUGUUAAUUUAGAAUUAUGUACAAUCAUAUAUCAUAGUUUAUAAUAAUAUUAAUACAUAUUUAUAAAAUCAUGAUAUCAAUUAUUUAAUUAAUAAAUUAUAAACAUAAAUCAAUUAUAAUUUUUUUGAAACUAAGAAUUAAAUAAAUUUAAAAAACUUGAGCUAAUAAAAUAUAUUAAAAGAUUCAAUUUCAAGUUAUUUAUAAAAUCAUAAAAUUUUAAGUUUACUUUCAUUAAAAAAUGAAACGUACUUAUUGCGUGCUUUUUCGCGUACCGUGUUUUUAAGGCCCAUGUGCUUAAAAUUCUAAGCCCGGCCCAACCCACGUGCGUGCUGUGCCAUAUCGUGUGCUCUACGGAAACGUGCUCAUGCCAUACCAUAUUGUACGGACACGUACCGUGCCUCGUGCCAUCCAGCCCAUUAGCCACGUCUAGUCACAUUAUCAAUCACUGAGGCUGAAUUUGCGGCAGCUGUAGCCUAUGCUUGUCAGGCUGUUUGGAUGAGAAGAAUACUACAGUAGGAUUAUUUGCUGGAAUAAAUCCCUAACUUUUAGGGUGUUAGUUGCAUUGUUUGACAUUUUCUUUGUUACUUGUACCACAAUGCUUUAGUUGUGCAUUAGUGGGCUAUUAUUUCUCUUUUUCUGUUACUUUGUAAAGCUAUUUAAGCCAAGUUCAUCUAUUCAAUAAAGUAAGCAAUUUUCAAAUUGUUUAGAGUUCUUGAUUUGCAAUUUCUUCUGCGAUCAUUAAUUUCCUACGCCAGCAACUAGCUGUUAUUUGGCAGUUUUAGUUAUGGGUUUGGAAGAUAUAGCUUUUGGAACUAAUUUUUUUAAAAUUGAUUUUGGAACGUCAGUUUUGUUUACGUUUCACGACUCACACGUGUUGUGGAGGUAAAGUUAAAUUAAAUUUUGUAUUUUUCUUUUGUUGAAUUGAAAUUGUUAAUUUUAAUUUUCUAAUCAACAAAUGAUUUUAAUUUUUUUUGGAAUUACCAUUGUUAAUUAUAGAAAUGUUUAUUCAUGAUGAAAAUUUUCAUCUCAGACUCAUUAUGGUAUAAUUGUACUGGUCUCUACACCCAAUCUAUGUUAGGUAAUAGUCGUUUUUUGUACUCUCAUUAAUGAGAUAAUUUGACAACACUAAUGAUUUGAAUAAUACAUAAAGUGUCGCAUCAUUUGAGAUAAUUUUUAACCAUAUAUAUUGUUAUUCUAUAAAAAAAAAAGUGUUGGAAAAAUAGGAUAAUGAGUUGCUAUUUAAAAACAUAAUUUUGAGUGGUAUACACUUAGUGUGAGUAGAAAGUCAAUAAUAAUUCGAAAUCUCCUCCAUGAGUACUCCAAAAUGAUGUAUUUGUAUACUGAAUAUGAUGUUGGUUAAAUAGGAAAUUGAUCCUCAAAAUAAAGCAAGAGUUACAGAGAUUGUAAUGGCUAGUUAAAUUCAAAAUUAACUAUGCAAUCCAUUCCAAGAAUUUAUUAUUUGUAACUGCUAAUUAAAUGUAGAAUUUAUUAUGAGAUUAUAAUGGUCAAUUAAAUUUAGAUUUUGAUAUAAAAUUAAAUCCAAAAUUUAAUAUAUGAUUAAUGAGGCAGCGAUUACAUUUUGAAUUUAAUUUAAAGAUUUAAUAAGCAGCGCUUUUAAUGGAUAUUAAAACCAACGGUUAAAAGUGUGUUUAAUAAGAUAUUAAAUUGCAUCUGAAGAAAACUUAAAGCAAUCAAAUUUGUCACCAAAAUGCCGUGAUAUAAUUCUAUAAAUUGGCAUAUUCUUCUACCGCAUUUGUAGAGACACGAGAUAGUGUAAGUGGUGGAAAAUAAUGAGAAUACAAGUGAAGAUAGAUUGAAGAGUAGGAAUAGAUGAUCUGCAAUUCAUUCUUUGUCAUAUAUCCAUUUUGAUAGAGUUUUAAACACAAUUGAAAUUCGCUGCGAAAUAACCUAUUGCCGCACCAAAGCUAUCCAUCACCAUUGUAUCCUGAAAACAGAUGCCAUUCGAAUCCUAAGACACCCAAAGUAGGAAGCAAAGCUUUUUAAACAAACUAUGCUAUCACAUAAGCCUCCAUUUGCAUUCUAUUCUUUGGUUUUACUUUAUGUUAUUAUUUCAUUGUAGUAAUUAUUAUUUCUGCACUUAUUAUUCUAUAAAGUCACAAUUUAUGAUUUGUAAUUUUAGAAUCUGUUCAUCCUAUAUCAGUUGUAUAUAAUGUGUUUUUCUCUUGCAAAAAUUUGAUGAAAUCUUAAUCCAUUUUGAUUUCUAAAAAGGGGAGAAAAAAAAUAAAAUAGAUUAGUAAUGCGUCAGCUUUCCAACGGCUCAUUUGUGACUUUUUUUAUUUUUAGUCUUUUAAUCACUAACCCUCUCAUGAACACUAGAUAGCUAUCAUGUUCAUGCAAUACAAGUCACUUUCAAGAAGCCUUGCUAUUGAAAUGGUAGACAUGCAACACUCAAAAUCUCAUGCUCAAGAGCAUGGCGGUUCGAGUCCUCUUCAAGGCAUAAUAUUGAGAAUGCUCGUUGAAUGAGCAAUUCAAUAAGAGAUCUCGGAUUGAACUAAUAUAUUGAUUCAAAUUUGAGUGACUAAUUAAAUAAAACUGCUUGAAAACUACACCUGCAUAAGUCCACGUGGGUUCUCAAGUUCUAUGUUAACUAUUAUUCUUCUCGGCAAGUAUCAAUUCUUCUAUUGCAGAUGCCAUUGUUGCAGAAUAGAAGUCAGUUGAAGCUCUUAAUAUUAUGAUUGAAGUUUAUGCAAGUGCAGAUUGCAGACAGCAGAUAUCGACUUGAAGCCUCAUGUAUGGAAAUAAAGAUUGGUUUUCAACCAAAUAUGACGACUGGGACAAUGUCGGGUGGUUAAGGAAGAUGCAAUGGUCGUCUCAAAAAAUUGGGUUUCAUUGGCCAGAUAGGACUGCGAUGUCAACUUUUUUUUUUCUUUAAUAUGAUUAAGAAUGAAAGAGUAAUUUUGACACAUUGACUUGGGCUUGUGAUUGUUAAUAAAUUUAUUACUUCUUUUCAUUAAUUUGACCUGCAUAACAAUUAAUUGAGUGAUUUUUAUUUUUCAAGAUACUUGCUACCCUCCCGAGUUCGAAUCUUCGGUUGAAAAUUUUGAUUUAAACUUAGUCUUCAUCUCUCAUUUAUAAAUAAUAAAUUAAUUAAUUAAUACAUAAAUAAAUAAAACCUACGUGAAUGUAGAAAUGAAUCAGAUGAAAAGUAAAUAUUGUAUAAAUACCCGCAUAAUGUGGUUCAGCUGCUUUGAAUAUUAUGCCAAGAAUAUGCAAAUCUGUUGGUUAGUGUUGACUUUGAACUACCUGAAGUACACAAGGGACUUUAACAUAGACUUAAUAACCAGAGGAAUUUCUGGCAAUUUAAGAAAAAAAGGGAACUAAGAUUCAUUUGAUUAUUCUUCCUCCCUGAACCUUAACAAAGAAAUUAAUUACAAAAAUAGUUUUUUGAAGUCUUUAAAAGUAAACCUUUCAGGAUCUCUUCAGAGAGCCGAAGAAAUGAAACAUGAGAAAACUUUGAAGUGCAAAGUAAUUUGGAGCUUACACAUCUUGAAACUCUUAAUCGGUGAAGCAACUGUGAUGUAACCUAACAGAAUGAUUAGAAUUUUCUGACUAUAUAUGUUAACCCAUCCAUCAUAUUAUCUAUAUGUGUAUUCAGCACAAACCUUUUAAUCUUGUAAAAACUCAAAAUGGAGAACUGUUUUUCGUUCAAUACUUGCAGCCUUUAGAAGCUCAUCAUGUCCUUCACAAGUCCCAUUGUCCAGUGUCGCAAGAGUUUGUUAAAAUCAUGAAUCAGUAUUGUGAAUUGGGUUAGUUAUAUUCUAUUAAGUUCGUUGCUAUUUCUCAAAAAAAAAAAAAAAAGAAAGUUCGUUGCUGAGGUGGGUUGAUGAGCUGGCGUUUGUGGGACCCUUAGUGGUUAAGUUGUUACAACAGUCCUACAAGUUUUUGGAAUUAAAUAUAAAAGAAAGCAAUGCUGGCCGGUGCAGCACCUAACGAAAAGAUCUUGACUAGCUUUGAGAUAGAUUUUGUUAAUUCUUCAUUGAAGGGAUUUAUUCUCUGUGAUCUCAAGAAUUGUAGUAAUCAAUAUCUUAAUAAAAGCUUAUUAUCAGCCAUGGAUAUAGGUACUAUGGUACCAAACCACGUAAUAUUACAAUGUUCUUUUUCUCUGCUUUUUUAGUUUCUUUGUCAUCUUUGUUCUUUGUUCUUUGAUCUAGUGUCAUUAAUUCUUUGCGCCAUUAAUUGGACUGGUUAAUUGGCUAGUCUGAUUAAGAGCUGAAAGAGAAGAAAAGGCCUUGAUUCAUAACAAAUUGGUGUCAGAGCCUUGGAGCUCUUUGCUCUUGAUCUUCAAAUGGCAAAGUAUCAGAUUUGAUCUCAAAAAAUUCAAUGGUGAAAAUAAUUUCUACUUGUGGAGUCUCACAAUGCGUGCAAUUCUAUUUCAAGAAGGGCUUGAUAGUGCUCUUGAUGAUGAUGAAUAUCCAAAGGAUAAGAAAGAGAAUGAAGAAGGUUCAUCAAGUUCCGGAGGAGACAUGGGGUCCAUUAACAAUAAGGCUCACAACAACAUCAUCUUACAUCUUUCAAGUGAAGUCCUGAGAGAAGUGGGAAAAGAAGAGACUGCUUCUGGUCUAUGAGCAAAACUUGAAGAGCUAUUCUUGAAGAAAUCUUUGGCCAAGAGCCUCUGUAUGAAGAUGAAGAUGUACACAUUUUCAAUAAAGGAGGGGACAACUAUGAAAGAUCAUUUGGAUGAGUUCAACAAGCUGAUAUUGGAUCUUAAGAAUGUUAACAUUGUUCUUGAAAAUGAGGAUAAAAUUCUUAUCUUGCUAAGCUCACUUCUAGAUUCAUAUAAGCAUUUUAUGGGUACUUUGCUGUAUGGAAGACAAUCACUCACUUUGAAGAAUGUGAAAAAUGCAUUGGAAUCUAAAGAUUUAAAGAAAAGAACAGAAAUAAGGGAUUAAAAUCUUAGAGAGGGCCAUAGUUGUCAGAUUCAGAUUAGAGAAGAAAGCCAAUAAAGAGAAAAAGAAUAAUAAUCAGAGGGAUAAAGUUGAUAACAAGAAGAAAAAAAAUGCUACUUAUAUCAUAAAGAAAGACAUUAUAUUAAGGAUUGCUUUGAGAAGAAAAAGCUUAAGAGGCUGUAAAAGGAACCAAAUGGGAAGGCUGCCAUUGUAUUUGAAGAUGAGGGAGAUUCAGAAGGAGCAGAUGUCCUUAUUACACUGAAAAAUAACUUACUGGUGAGUGGAUACUGGACAAUGUAUGUUUUUUUUUUUCAUAUGUGCCUAAAUAGAGAUUUGUUCAAGACCUUUGAAAGCAUUGAUGGGGGCAAAGUCUUGCUUGGAAACAAUCUUUCUUGUAAGGUUGCUGGAAUUAGAACCAUUAGUAUCAAGAUGUUUGAUGGGGUAACUAAGGAUCUAAAACCAGUGAGAUUGAAAACUUUUCUAUAUUUCUCUAUAUCGUAAAAGGUAACACAAAUUCCUCUUAUAGAAGAGAAUACAUAAAAUUGGGAAACUGACAAUAAAUUAGCUAUCUAGUUGUACUAACUAUUUCAUAAUUUACACCAUUGACCUAUUCUUAUUUACAGCUAACAAUCCUCUCUAACUACAAAUAUUUCUUUCCUUUUCUACACUCCCCCUCAAGCUGGUUUGAAGCUAUCCUCCAUAGCCAGCUUGCCAAUUAGCUCGUUGAAUUUCCGAGUAGGAAGCCCCUUAGUAAGUACAUCUGCAACUUGCUGAGUAGUGGGAAUGUAAGGCAUACAUAUUAACCAUUUCUCAAGUUUUUCCUUGAUGAAAUGACAUCUUUAUUGUCACAAUACACUUUCAUAGGUAGUGAAUUAGAAACUUUCAAUUCUUCUAAGAGUCUUUUAAUCCACAACACCUCACAAAUCCCGAAAGCAGUUGAUCUAAACUCAGCUUCUAUGCUGCUUCUUGCCACCACAUUCUGUUUCUUACUUCGCCAUGUAAAAAGAUUGCCACCAAUAAACGUGCAAUAGCCAGAAGUUGAUCGUUUAUCAACAACACUUCCAAUCCAAUCCGCAUCAAUAUAGACUUCAACUUGCAAGUGCCUACGAUUAUUUAAUAACAAACCGCAUCCAGAAGUCCCCUUCAAAUACCUGAGAAUUCUAUAGACUGCAUUGAAGUGUUCUUGUCUAGGGGAAUGCAUAAACUGGCUAACCAUGCUCACUACAAACGCUAUAUCUAGACGAGUAUGCGAUAAGUAAAUCAGUAUUCCAACAAGUCUUUGGUAUUGUUCUAUGUCCAAGACUUCUUCAGGUUUAAGAGGCUAUAAUUUAAGGUUGAGCUCAAUAAGUGUUUCUGCUGGUUUACACUCUAGCAAGCCCAUUUCAUUAAGCAAAUCAAGGACAUAUUUACGUUGAUUCACAAAUAUACCUUCUUUGGAUCUAGCAAACUCCAUUCUGAGAAAGUAUUUCAAUGUCCCUAAAUCCUUGAUCUCAAAGUCAGCUGCAAGUCUCUUCUUCAAUUUUUCUAGUUCUUCACUGUUAUGAUAUGUCAUGACUAUAUCAUCCAUAUAAACAAUUAGUAUAGCAACUCUACCUUCUCUACCAUGUUUAUAGAACAUAGUAUGAUCAGCUAGGCUUUGACAAUACCCACAAUUCUUUACAUAUUUCCCAAAUCUCUCAAACCAAGCUCUAGGGGACGCUUGAGGCCAUACAACAACGUUUUUAGUCUAUAGACUUUCAUUGAUCCCAAAUUCUUCUCAAAACUAGGUGGUAGACUUAUAACAAUCUCUUCCUUAAGAUCACCAUUCAAAAAGACAUUUUUUUUACAUCCAAUUGGUGUAGUGGCUAGUUCAGAUUUACAGCCAAAGAUAAUAGAAUUCUAAUUGAGUUUAUCUUGGCUACCGGAGCAAAGGUCUCCUGACAAUCAAUCUCAUAGGUUUGAGUGAAUCCCUUAGCUACUAAUCUUGCCUUAUACAUUUCUAUGCUACUAUUCGCUUUACACUUGACAGUAAAGACCUAUUUGCAAGCUACAGUCUUCUUCUCUUUAGGCAAAUCGACUAAUCUCUCAAGUACCAUUUCUCCUAAGAACAUUCAUCUCUUUUAUCACUGCCAAUUUCCAAUUUGGAUUACCAAGAGCUUCCUGAAUGUUUCUUGGGAUAAAAAAGUGUGAGAUUUUUUAGGUAAAUGCCCUAUCAGUAUGAGAAAGUUUGUCAUAAGAAAGAUAUUGAGCAAUGGGAUAUCUAGGAUUCUUAGUGAGAUUUCGGAUUCCUUUUCUAAUGGCAACAUGAAUAUUAAGGUUUGAUGAUUCUUUGCUAGGGAAAAGCAUGGGAAUUGAAGAUGAGUUAGGAUUGAAAAUACAUGUGAUAUUUGUAGGUCCAAUCCCCAAGGGUUGUGAUUGAUCGUUACCAAGAGUAACUGGCAGCCUUUGAGUUUUUUUUAUGAUGUUUUCUUUGAGUAUAAACCAAAAGCUCAGUUGUUAGAAUCAUUUUGAUACGACAGUAGUAGUGAUUCUCCCCCUAUUUCAGAUACAAUAAUGUUUGGCAUUAUAUUACCAGAACUUCCCUCAUUGUUCUCAGUGUUUUUAUCAUCACGUUGUUCUUGACUUUGAAGGCCAGAAAUGGUAGGAUGAGAGGAAUGAGGUAUAGUAGUCAAAAUUAUUUUUGGUAAAGAGUUAGAAGAUAUAUCCCAAAACGUUUCUUCCAUUACCUCAUACUCCCCCUAAAUAGAAUUUUUUUGAAAGUAGGAUUUUUUUUUUCAAAAACCGAGAUAUCUAUACUCACAUAAAAUUUCCUUGUUUGGGGAUUAUAGCACUCAUAUCCCUUUUAUUGGAGGCAUGCCCUAUGAACACAUAUUUUUCUGCCCUUGGAUCAAGUUUGUACUGAGUGUUAUUAGGUAUACGAACAAAGAUAGUAUAGCAAAAAACUUUAGACGUAAAUCUGAGUACAUUCUAGAUAGGGGAAAGCAUUUUUUAAAACAUUCUAGAGGUGUACUAUAUUUUAAAACACAUGUAGGCAUCCUAUUAAUUAAAUAAGUUGAUUUUAAAACAGCUUCUCCCCAAGAUAUUUUGGAAUAUUCAUCGAAAACAUUAUAACACGUGUUACUUCAAAUAAAUGUUUAUUUUUUCUUUCAGUAGUCCCAUUUUGCUGAGGCAUAUCUACACACGUGGACUGGUGAUAAAUACAUUUUUCUUUAAAAUUUUUUCCAAAAUACCUUUAUAGUACUCGGUUCCAUUAUCAUUGUGAAGAACCCUAAUUUUCUUUUGAAAUUGAGUUUCAACCAUUGUGUAAAAGUCUUUAAAAUUUUUUCCAACUUCAGAUUUUUCACUCAUUAAGUAAACCCAACAUAGACGGGUGUGAUAAUCUAUAUUAAGUAAACCCAACAUAGACGGGUGUGAUCAUCUAUGAAUGUGACAAGCCAUUUUUUCUUUGAAAUAGUAAUAACUCUUGAAGGUCCCCAAACAUCACUACGUAUUAAAUAAAAUGGUUUUGAAGGAAUAUAAGGUUUUGGCAAAUAAGUAGUACGAUGAAUCUUAGAUAAGCAACAACUUUCACAGUAAAAUGAUGAAAAAUCCAAACCCUUAAAUAAAGUAGAAAACAAAUGUUUAAGAUAUUGAAAGCUAGAAUGUCCCAAUUUUAAAUGCCAAAGCAUUAUUUGUUCAUAAACAGAGUUAGAACUAACACUACUAAAGCCCUAAGAAAUCAUCAUCAAAGUAGUAAAGGCCACCAAUCAACUUAGCACUGCCAAUCUUCUUCCUCGAGGUUUGGUCCUGAAAUUCAUAGUAAGAAUCACAAAAAAUCACUCGGCAAUUAGAAUCUUUAGUUAUUUUACUCAUGGUUAAAAGAUUACAAGCUAACUUGGGAACACGAAGAAUAGAAUUAAGGUUUAAUUUUUUGGAUAAUUUAAUCAAACCUUUCCCUACUAUUGGUAACAAAGUACUAUCUGCAAUUCUUAUUUUGUCAAGACCAAAAGAUGGUGAGUAAGUGCAAAACAAAUUUGAAAGGUUGGUCAUAUGAUCAUAAGCUCUUGAAUUUAUAAUCCAAGGAGCAUAAUUUGACAUGAAGAAAGAGCAUUGGGUGUGCUACCUAUUUGUGCAAGAGAAACAGUAGGAAUACUACUUGGUGAGUAAUUGGGUUUUAGCAACUGCAGAAGGUAAUCCAUUUGCUCCUUGGUGAAAGGGCCUGUCUCGGCUUUAUUUGCAGUAGAAAUCAACCAGGUAUUUUUAUCACCAGGCUUGCUGCUCUUUUAAUUUGCUAGUUUUUCUUGGAUUUUCCAGCAUGUUUCUCAAGUAUGACGUGGUUUGUUGCAAUAGUCACACCAUACCCGUAGAUUCUCUUCAGUUUUAUGCUGAAAUCUAGCUGUUUUGUUAAAAACAACCAAUGCACUAAGAAGGGCAGAACUUUCAGUAGGCUCGUCAGUUGUCUUCUUUCCUAGCAUUACAUGUCUACGACUUUCUUCUCUUCGAACCUCAAUAAACACCUCGCCAAUUAGAGAAAGUGGCUUCCUGCCAAUGAUCCACCCCUGAACCUUAUCGAACUCAACGUUGACUCCUAUAAGAAACUUGUAAAUACGAGAAGCCUCAACAAUAUUGUUCUAAUAUUUGGCAUCUUCUGUGAAUUUCCAUUCAUAAUCGUUGAACAUAUCUAAAUCUUGCCGAACAGAUUAAGACUACCUUAAAUAAUUUUCACCAUUAAGGAAAAUAAUGGUAAUUUGAAUUAGAUAAGUAUCAGUAUUGGGAGUUUGGGUUUGUGUUGGAGAAUUGGUUGAAGCAGAUAUAAUCGAUUGAUUAUGAUGGCUCUGAUACCAUGAAAACUUUUCUGUAUUUCUCUAUAUCGUAAAAUGUUACACAAAUUCCUCUUAUAGAGGAGAAUACAUAAAAUUAGGAAACUGAAAAAAAAAUUAGCUAUCUAACUGUACUAGCUAUUUCCUAAUUUACACAAUUGACUUAUUCUUAUUUACAACUAACAAUCCUCUCUAAUUACAAAUAUUUCUUCUCUUUUCUAUAGAGAUAUAUGCCAGACCUUACAAGAAAUCUCAUAUAUCAAUGGAUGAUUGAUCAACUGGGCUGUAGCAUUAAGGUAGAAUAUGGUCAAAUACAAGUUAUAAAUAAGGGUGCUGUUAUUAUGAAGGGAAUUAAAAGGAAUGGUUUGUGUGUUCUGGUUGGGUCAUUACCUCAGUUAGGGGUAAAUGCUAGUGUAAGUAGUGACAAAACCAAACUUUGGCAUAUGAAGAUAGGACAUAUAAGUGAAAAAGGUUUGAAAGAACUAAGAAAGCAAGAGUUAUUUGGUCAUAAUCAAAUUUCCUCACUAGAGACAAAAGUUCAAGAGAAGAAGACAUGAAACAAAUAGACAUUGGAUUAUGUUUAUUCAGGUUCCAUCUCAUGGUGGAGCUAGGUACUUUAUUACCUUCAUGGAUGACUUCUCAAGGAAUCUUUGGGUUUAUGUGUUGAAACAUUAAAGUGAAGCCCAAAAAAAAUUCAAGGAAUGGACAGCCCUAAUGAAGAACUAAAUUGGAAGAAAAGUGAAGAGAUAAAGAACAGACAAUGGCCUGGAGUACUGCAACAGUGAGUUUGAUGAGUUUUGUAAGAAGCAUGGCAUUAUGAGGCAUAAGACAGUAAAACAUACACCACAGCAAAAUGACCUUGUUGAAAGAAUGAACAAAACCUUAAUUGAGAAAGUCAGAUGAUAUUAUUUAGUUUUAAUCUCUUUAACCAUUUUUGGGCUGAAGCAAAUUGCUGCAUAUCUUAUCAACAAAAAUCCCCCAUCAGCUUUGGAGUUUAAAACUCCACAAGAAGUCUAGUCUGGCAAACCACUUGAUCUAAGUAACCUAAGAAUCUUUUGUUGCCCAGCUUAUGCACAUAUAAGUUUGGGAAAGCUAAAACCAAGGGCUGUUAAAGGUUAUUUUAUAGGAUAUUCUGAAGGAAUUAAAGGAUAUAAGAUUUAAAGUAUUGAUGGGAAGCCUAUUAGAACCUUUAUUAGUAUAGAUGUUGUGUUUAAUGAGGAGGUAUUGAUACAGACAAAAGUUAAAAUAGAGAUCUUUACUAAUUUUAAAGGAAAUUCACAUAUGAUGGUGGAGUCAAUAGAUACUCAGAGAUCCAGAGAAGAGAGAGAAUAAAGAGUGCACAAACAUUCAGAAUUAGAAGGAUAUCAUCUUGUAAGAAAUAGAGAAAGAAGAGUUACUGUAAGGCCUAAAAGAUAUGGUAUUGUUGUUUUAAUCUCAUAUGCAUUUAUGGUUAUUGAUGAUGUAAGUGGUUGAGAACUUAUCAGCUACAAAAAGGCCGUGAGUAGUAAGGAGAAGUCAAAAUGGCUUGUAGCAAUAAAAGAAAAAAUUGCCUCUUUCAAGAAAAAUAAUACGUAGAUCCUAGUUGACAAACUUUUAAACAAGAAACUGGCUAGCUAUAAAUGGGUUUUCAAGCUCAGAAAGUGAUCAUGGGCAACCUAAAUAUAAGGCUAGACUUGUAGCAAAAAGGUUUACACAAAGGGGAGGAAGCAUUUUCACCAUUAGUUAAACAUAGCUCUAUAAGGGUUUUAUUGGCUAUCACUGCAUUCUUAUAUCUAGAAUUAGAUCAAAUGGAUGUCAAAAUAACCUUUUUGCAUGGUAACUUAGAUGAAGAAAUUCUAAUGGACUAAUCAGAAGGAUUCAUUAAAGAAGGAACUAAAGAUAUGGUUUGCUUAUUACAUGGCUCGAAAUAAUCCUUAAGACUAUGGUAUUUAAGGUUCGAUGAAUUUAUGAUCACUCACGGAUACUUUAGAAGUCAAUAUGAUAGUUAUGUGUACUGCAAACUUUGCCUUUUAGAGGUACUAUAUAUCUUCUUUUAUAUGUUGGUGACAUGCUUAUUGCAUGAAAACAAAGAGAAGAAAUAGAGAGGCUUAAAGAUGAACUAAGUUCUGAGUUUAAGAUAAAGAACUUAAGCCCUACAACAAGGAUUUUAGGAAUGCAGAUCAUAAGAGAAAGAAGUGAAAAAACUUUGUUCCUUUUCACAUGCUGAUUAUGUCAGAAAGGUGCUUAACAGAUUUGGUAUGCUUAGUUCUAAACUUGUUACUAUACCUUCUUGCACAUUUCAAACUGUCUAAACAACAAGAACCAACUGAAGGAGCAGAUGUUGAGCACAUGAUGAAAAUACCUUAUUCUAGUGUAAUGGGGAGCAUCGUGUAUGCUAUGGUUAGUCUAGAUCCGAUGUUUGCAUAUGGAAUAAGAGUUUUCAGCAAGUUUAUAAGAAAUCCAGGGAAAAAACAUUGAGAGGUUGUUAAGUGGAUACUUAGAUACCUUAAUGGUACAACUAAUAAUGGUAUUUUAUUUGGAGGAAUUAAUAAUACACAAGUAAAAUCUUAGGCUAUGUGGACUUAGAUUUUGCUGGCAACUUGGAAAAGAAUGCCAGUUACUGGAUUUGUCUUCACAUUGUAUGGAGGUGCAAUGAGUUGGAAAGAAUCACUGUAAUCAGUUGUUGCUUUAUCUAGAACUGAAGUUGAAUAUGUUGCACUCAUAGAGGCUACGAAGGAAACAAAAUGGCUCAGAGGCUUGGCAUCAGAAUUAGGAUUGAGGCAAGAGUCGAUUUCCAUUAGUUGUCAUAGUUCUACUGCAAUACAAUUGAGCAAAAAUCCAAAAGAACAUGAAAGAACAAAGCAUAUUGAUGUUAGGCUACAUUUUAUCAGAGAAGAAAUUGGUUUUGGUGUGGUGAAUAUUAUCAGAGAAGAAAUUGGUUCUGGUGUGGUGAAUAUUAUCAAAAUCCCCUUAGUAAUCAAUCCUACUGAUAAUCUAACAAAACUUUUGCUUGUAGUCAAGUUCAUGGGCUCUUUGAACUUGAUUAGGGUUGUUAGCUUGUAAGUCAAGCUAUGUGUUGCUGAUACAGAGUUUGGGUGAAGCUUGAAAAUAAUAUAAAUGAAGAGGAGAUUUGUGAAUUGGGUUAGUUAUAUUCUAUUAAGUUAGUUGCUGAGGUGGCUUGAUGAGCUGCUGUGUGGGACCCUUGUAGUUAAGUUGUUACACGGUCCUACAAGCUUCUGGAAUUAAAUAUAGAAGAAAGCAAUGCUGGCUGGUGCAACACCCGGAGAAAAGAUCUUGACUAGCUUUGAGAUAGAUUUUGUUAAUUCUUCAUUGAAGGGAUUUGUUCUUGUGAUCUCAAGAAUUGUUCUAAUCAAUAUCUUAAUAAAAACUUCAGGCCCAAAGGGGUAAUAUCAGCCGUGGAUGUGAAUACUUUUGUAGCAAACCACGUAAUAUGGCAGUGUUCUUUUUCUCUGCUUUCUUAGUUUCAUUGCCGUAUUUAUUCUUUGUUCUUUGAUCUAGUGUCAUUAAUUCUUUGUGCCAUUAAUUAGAUUGGUUAAUUGGCUAGUCUGAUAAAGAAUCGAAAGAGAAGAAAAUGCCUUGAUUUCAUAACAAGUAUUCUGUCCUUAAAGGCUUUAAGUCAAUUAUUUUCUUAAACAAUUUAAGAGAAACUUUAAUUGCUUCAGUCUUCACUCUUCAACGUAUAUGAGUCUCUAUGAUAAGAGUUUUCUCCAAAUUCAAAUCCAACUUUAGCACCCAAAUUUUUGGCCUAAAGGGAAAAAAAAAAAUUAAAGGCUUUACGUACUGGAUACUGAGGUACACACUUCACAUAUUAAUGUAAAAACUAAAAAGUUAACAUAUAUAUCAAAGGCUUUAUGAACUGGAUAAGAGUCUUGACAUUUUUAUGUAAAAAUUAACAUAUCAAAGGCCUUAUGAACUGGAUAAGAGUCGAUCAUUUACCCCCAUUGGGGACUGAUACAAAGUUAUUCCAGUUGGCGCACAAUGUCUUGCAAAGCAAGCAAACGUUCCCCUCACUAGAUGUAAUUGAACAAACAAUAAUCACAAUUUUUUUUUUUUGGAAAAGUAAUUAAUUCAUUGAUUAGUACCAAAAAAUCAUUGAAAUUUAAUCAAAUUAUACGGAGUUGCAUACCAUUUUUGCUCUUUGUUAAGAAUUGAUAGUCUCUUAAUAAGAUUAUAAUUGAAAGAAUUAGAAAUGGAAUGAGGAAGAUCUUUGGGUGAUGAUAAUGUAAACCACAAGUUUUUAAUAGGGGACACUAAAACUUUUUUUUUAAUAUAAUACCCUUUAUAAAUAGCAACUAAAAAAUUGACCUUAAAAAUUUUAAUAAAUAAAAUAUAAUUUAAAUAGUUUAAUUUUUCUAAUAGACUAAUAAUAUUAGAAUAUUUUUAAUAUAAAAAUAAUUUUAAAACUAUAAAUGAUUAUAUUUAUUUUAAUAAUGUAUUUAUAUUUAUUCUAGAAUUUUUUAAUAAAUAUCUAGGUUAAAUAAAUUUUUCUAAUAGACUAAUAACACAAUGCUCGCAACAUGGUAAGUUUACCGAUUUGAGCCCUGGAAGCAAUUUUCGCUCAGAGAGAAUUUUCAAAUCUUGUUUUGACAUAUGACCGAGUUUGAGGUGCCACAUCAUCGUUGAUUCUUCUCCAUUUGACGCAACGCACGCAUCAGUUUCCUAUAGUGUUUCUCUUUCAAGCACGAACAGAUUAGAACCGAUCUUUUCUACCUUCAUCAAUAUAAGCGCACCUUUAACAAUCUUCAUAAUCCCACUUUCAACAUGGGUUUUACACCCAUGACAAUAUAUUGUCCCAAAGACAAAAGAUUUUUCUUCAGGCCUUUGACAUGUCGUACCUCUUCAAUUGUAUGAACCGUACCAUCAAAUAUUUUUAUUUUGAUAGUACCAAUACCAGCGAUCUCCAAGGCAUGAUCAUCUCCCAUGUAUACAGAUCCUCCUGAGGUUUAUAUGUGUGAAACCAUUCUCUUUGAGAGGUCAUGUGCCAGGUAGCUCCUGAGUCUAUGAGCCAAAUGUCAGAUAGCCAUUUUCUGCCUUAUGAAAUAGUUGUUGCCUCACUGUAGAGAAUUUCGCCAUCAUCUGAGGUACUUGCCAUACACCCUUGAGCAUUUGAUGACUCGGAUUUAUUGUCUCCACUCUGCUUGUUUUUCCAACACUCUUUCUUGAAAUGCCCUUUCUUGCCACAAUUGUAGCAUUUGACAUUUUUCUUACUUCUUGAUUUUGAUCUACCAUAAUUGUGACUCCUACUGGGGCCACAUUCUAUUGAUUUCUCUCUCGUUAUUGAUAGUGCUUCUGCUUGCUGCGAACUUACUUGUUUGUCUUCCUUACUUUUUCGCCUACUCUCCUCAUUUAAUACGGAGGCUGCAACAUCAUCGAAAACUAGAUUGUCCGCUGGGUUGUUGUUUGUCAGGUUGAUGAUGAGUUGAUCGUAUGAAUCUGGUAGACUUUGAAGUAUAAGCUCUGCAUGUUCAUUUUCCUCUAUUUUAUGACCCAACGUUGUAAGUUGUGAAAAUAGAGUCUUUAAGGUGUUGAUGUGGUCGGUCACCGAUGUACAUUCUGCCAUUUGAAGAGUAUAGAGUCUCAUUUUUAAGAAGAUCUUGUUGUGCAGUGAUUUGGUCUUGUACAAUUUUGUGAGAGUAUCUCAUAUUUCCUUUGCUGUCUUUUUCUCUGCCACAUUGGAUAAUACUUCAUCCUCAAGUGCCAAGUAUAGAUCAGAAAUGGUGUUACCGUCUAUCUCGUUCUACUUGUCAUCAAUUAACUCUAUAGGCUUUUCUCCAAUUGCUGUCAAGCAAUUAUUUUUCCUCAAUACAACUUUUAUCUUCAUUUUCCACAACGAAAAUUUAUUUCCGUUGAAUUUCUCAAUUUCGUAUUUUACCGCCAUCGCUUUUCACCAAAAGCUAACUUUGCUAAUAUUGACUCCCACCGCUUCACGUGAACAGUAACCGUAUAAGUGAAUAGUAACCAUAUAAGUGAUAGCCGUAUACGUGAACAAUACUUUUAUGUGAACAGUACCAUGACUCCAAAAAAAAAUACAACAAGUAGCUCUAAUACCACUGUUAGGAAAUUAAUGGGUGAAACAAGGCCACAACUAAAAUGAAAUUGGAAGAAAAUUUAUAAGUAUUGUAAUACUUUGUCUCACUACCCAAAACCUUCUCACUCAAUAUACUCACAAGAGCUUUAUAAUUUUAACCUCUUAAAAUCACUCAAGAUCUUAGCUUUUUCUCUCACCAAAAUUGGAUGCCUAAAACAAAAUGGAGAGCUCCCUUUAUAUAGCCAAAAUUGGCUAUUAAAAAAAUUAUUAUUAUUUUGUCCGCCUUUGAUUUCUUCAUUCUUCUAUUUUCUUCUUUCUUCUUUCUACUUCGGUGGUGCCAAACCCUUCAACAUUUGCUGCUUCCAAAUUCUAUUUUUCUUUCCUUGGGCAGCACCUCCUUGGACUUCAAUUUGGGCAGCUUAUACAGCUUCUAGAUCUUCAAAAUAUGCUACUUCUUGAAGCCUUUUCGUGACACAUUGCCUAGUAGAUUUACUCAAUCACAAAUUGGGUGGUUACAUAAUAUGUUUGAAAACCUUUAAUUAAUAAAAUUCUUAUCUAUUUUCUUUCGUAAUACGAUUUACCUAAGUCUCUCUUAUGAAAUCAUUUGCAUUAAAGCGUAAAUAAUCUCAUUACUUUGGGGUAUUAUUUGUCUUGGACUUCUUCUUUGAUCUAUCACUAUAUUACUUACCUUGGGCUGUCUCACUAUUCUCGUGUAAUAUUAUCUGCCUUGAGUCAUUCAUUUUUGUAUUGAGUGGUGAUAUUAUCUCAUCAGUUUUUAUAUUAAUUUCUAUUUUGCCGUUGUAUGAAAUUACUUAUUUUUUUGAAUUACUAUAUUAUUUGCCUUGGGCCGCCUCACCAUUUUGUUGCAUAAUCUGCCUUGGGUCAUUCAUUUUUGUAUUGAAUGGAGAUACUAAAGAAAUGUGUUUUUAUUUCUUGAAAUAAAACAUUAUACACUGAGAGUUAUUUAUAGAUGCAGAUGCUAUAUUUUUUCAAAGAUUACAUAUGUGAAUACGGAAGGAAAUGUGUCAAUCCGUUCGGCGCGGAUCGUGUCUUUGAAAAAUGCAGAUUAUCCCUUUGACAAGUGCGGAUUAUGUCUUUGAAAACUUUCUCCAAUGCCAUUUUAUUCAACACUCCCCCUCAAGCUGGUGCAUAGAUGUCUUGCAUACCCAGCUUGUCUAGGAAUUUUGUAAAUGCCCUGCUUGAAAUGGCCUUCGUUAAAAUAUCUACAAGUUGAUCUUCUGAUCGAAUUUUCGGCAGUUCUAAGAUUUUUUCAUCUAAUUUCUCCUUGAUGAAAAAUCUAUCUACCUCGACAUGUUUUGUUCGAUCGUGUUGAACUGUGUUAUGAGCAAUAUCUCGUGCAGCUUUGUUGUCACAGUAUAGUUGUAUUGGUUGUUAUAAUGGAUAACCCAAAUCGUUUAAGAUAAAGCUUAUCCAUAGCCCUUCACAUACCCCAAGGGCCAUGCCUCGAUAUUCUGUUUCAGCGCUCGAACGGGCAACGACAUGUUGUUUCUUGCUUCUCCAUGUGACAAGGUUGCCUCCCACAAAGGUAAAGUAUCAUGAAGUAGAGCAUCUAUCACUAACUGACCCGGCCCAAUCUGCAUCAGUAUAAACUUCUAUGUUGUUGUAAUCUUCAUUUUUUGAAAAUAGGAUUCCUUUCCCUGGAUUUGUCUUCAGGUACCUCAGGAUCGGCAUUACUGCUUUCAUGUGUUGUUCUUCGGGAUUAUGCAUAAAUUGACUUACAAUACUCAAUGCAUAAGCAAGAUUUGGCCUUGUGUGGGACAAGUACAUCAAUCUUCCAAUCAGUCUUUGAUAUCUUCCUUUGUUUACUGGAACUUGGUCUGAGGUAAUACAAAACUUCAGUCCUUCUUCUAUUGGGGUGUCAAUAGGCUGACAAGCUGUUAUUCCUGUUUCGUGCAAUAGAUCUAAGGCAUAUUUCCUUUGAGAUAAAAAGAUUCCUCCCUUAGAUCGAGAAACCUCAAUUCCAAGAAAGUAUUUUAAGGCUCCUAAAUCCUUCAUCUCAAACUCUCUCGACAAGUACUUCUGAAGAGCCUCUCUUUCUUCCUCGUCGUUGCCUGUAACUACCAUAUCAUCUACAUAGACAAUAAGGGCAGUGAUUUUCCCUUGUCGUUUUUUAAUAAACAAGGUAUGAUAUGAAUUGCUUUGGUUAUGCCCAAAAAGAACCAUAACCUUUGUGAAUUUCCCGAACCAUGCUCUUGGGGAUUGCUUCAACCCGUACAAUGAUUUCUUCAAUUUGCAUACUUUCUGAUUGAGUCGUUCUGAUCCACUGCAUCCUGGUGGCAGAUCCAUAUAUAUUUCUUCAGACAGGUCUCCAUGGAGGAAAGCAUUCUUUACAUCGAACUGUUGCACUGGCCAAUCCAAGUUGACUGCUAAUGAUAACAAGAUACGAAUAGUAUUAUUUUUUGCUACCGAUGCAAACGUAUCGGUAUAAUCUAUCCCGUAGGUUUGGGUGUAACCCUUAGCUACAAGUCUUGCUUUGUAUCGUUCAAUAGAGCCAUCUGCUUUGUACUUUAUAGUGUAGAUCCAUCGGCAACCCACUAGUUUCUUUCCUGGUGGAAGAUCAACUAGUUCCCAUAUUUGAUUUUUUUGAAGAGAUCUCAUUUCGUCAUUCAUAGCCACUUUCCACUUUGGGUCUUUUAAGGCUUCCUGCACACUGUUAGGAAUAGAUACAAUAGAUAAUUGAUUCACAAAUGACUGAUUUGCUUCUGACAAGCGAUGGUUAGACACAAAAUGACUCAUAGGGUAUUUGACUCUACUAGAGAGGUUGGGCUCAUAUGUGGGUUUAGCGAUACCUCUAUUUUGACGUUGGGGAAGAAUUCUUCUGAUUGGACUUGUGGUAGGAACAUCCUCUGCAGACGAUUGGUUAGGUAUUUCUUCAUGUGACUCAUUCUCGAUUGCAGUUGUGUCUAAGUUAUUGUGCUCCCCAAAUGUGUCUUUACUUAUCUUAGCCUGAGAAUCAUCACCAUUUUCUUUUCCAGUAUCUUGAAGGUUUACUACCUCAAUGGAAGAUUGACCUUCUUCAGGUGGAAGAUACGUAAGAGUAUGAUUUUCCUCUUCAUUAUACUCCCCCUGAAAUUCAGGCUCUGACAAGUAGUACAUGAUAUCUUCAUGAAAGACGACAUCCAUGGUGAUGUAUAUUUUUCUUGAUGGUGGAUGAUAGCAUCGGUAUCCCUUUUGAUGUAAGGCAUACCCUACAAACACACAACGUAGUGCUCAAGGAGAUAAUUUGUAUUGUUGCAGCAAAUGUACGAAGGCAACACAGCCAAACACAUGUGGGGGUGAAUUUGGCACAUUUGGUGACAUAAUUGUAUCAUUCAGAACCUGGAAAGGAGUCUGGAAUCCAAGGGAGCUUGAAGGUGUUCGAUUGAUUAAGUAUACUGCGGAUGCCAGUGCUUCUCCCCAAUAAGAUAGUGGCAUGUGGGCUUGGAUUAAUGAUGCUCGAACAACUUCUAGUAAAUGUCUAUUUUUUCGUUCAGCAACGCCAUUUUGUUAGGGUGUCCCCACACAAGUGGUUUGAUGGACAAUUCCUCAUGAUUUCAUAAAUUGUUGAAUUGCUGUGCUUAUAUACUCGCCUCCAUUAUCAGUAUGUAGAACUCGAAUUUGUGUCUGAAAUUGAGUCGUCGCCAUCUUAUGAAAUCUUUGAAAUAAAGAGUUUACUUCGUCUUUCGAUUUCAUCAGAAAAAUCCAUGUCAUUCUGCUACAAUCAUCAAUAAAUGUAAGAAACCAACGAGCACCUCCAAUUGUAGAAACUUUAGAUGGCCCCCAUACAUAAGAAUAUACUACCAUGAAAGGAACUGGAUUCUUAUUUAAGGACAAUGGAAAAGUAGUUCGAUGGCUUUUUGAAAGUUCACAAACAUCACAUUUAAAGUUACAAACAUCAAGUUUCAGAAACAAACUAGGAAAUAAUUUUUUUAAGUAACCAAAUGACACAUGCCCUAAAUGUCUAUGCCAUAACCAAAUUUCUGAUUUCCCUUUUUUUAUGGUAUUAUCUGCGACUAGUGUGGGGCUUAGCUUUCCAGUGUUUGUUGAUGACAUCUCCAAGUAGUACAAGUUGCCUCGUCUAAUACCAUAACCAAUCGUUUGCUUCGUUUGGAUGUCCUUAAACACACAAUGAUCAGGCCAAAAAAUUACAACUGUUAGAGUGCAAUUUAAGCACUAGUUUUGCAUUGUUUACUUCCCUUAAUAUCGAUGUUUUGCACUUAAUAAUAGUGAUUUACUUGUGUUUUACUUUUGUAGGUGCAAUUCUAUUGAUUGGUGACAAAAUUAAGCUACAAGAUUAUAUUUAAUGAUGAUUGUUCUCUUGGAGAAAUUAUGAGCGUCAGAAGAACUUUAUUGAUAAGGCGUGGGCACAUGCUGUCAACUACGAACCUGCAGUUUUUAGUUUAAACGUGUUUUGUAUUUUUGGUUAUUUUUGUAAUUACGAAUUUAAUAUUUCAGAUAUUAGUAUUUUAUUUUAAAUAGAAUUCUAGAGGAGAAGAGAGGGAGAGUAUUUAAGGGAGGAAUCUAUUGUGAUAAGGGAGAUGUAUGUUUUAUUAUUGUCAACGAAACCCCCAUUUUAUGUUUUACGUUUUAAAAGGAUUUAAAUAAUUACCGAUCUCUGUGGACACGACCUUGCUCAAUCACUAUACACAAUUUAUUUAGAGUAUGUAUUUAUUUUUGCUGGCUUCGACAACCAUCAAAUUUUGGUGCCGUUGCCGGGGAUUGGUGUGAUUUAUUUAAUCCUUUUUACGUUUUACUUGGUGUAUGGUUCGUUCUUCUCGUACAGGUACACUUUCGUUUGAUCCUGAAAUUGAGAAGACAGCUCGCCAGCUGAGACAGCAGACGAAGUGAGCUAAGCAACGAUCCUCGUCGCCUUUGCUUUCUGAAACAGAUACGGUGCCUGAUUUAGUUGAAUCAUCUAGCGAUUCGGAAGAACAAGUGAUGGAUAGAGCUGCACUUGUAGAAAGAACUCUUAGAGAGUUAGCUGAACCAGACUUGAAUCAGCAACCACUCUGCAUUCAAUAUGUAGACUUGGAGGUAAAUUUUGAAUUAAAGUCUGGUCUUAUUCAUUUAUUACCCAAGUUUCAUGGUUUUGUAGGUGAAGAUCCUCAUAAACAUCUCAAGGAGUUUCAUGUUGUGUGUUCAAGUAUGAGGCCACAAGGCGUGACUGAAGAGCAGAUUAAGCUGCGUGCUUUUCCGUUCUCUGUAGAUGGGCUAGCUAAAGACUGGUUGUACUACUUGCCUCCUGGAUCGAUUACAACGUGGAAUGGUUUGAAGAAGCAGUUCCUCGAGAAGUACUUUCCUGCUUCAAGAGCUGCCAAUAUCAGAAAAGAUAUUUGUGGGAUCAGACAACUUCCUAGGGAGACUUUGUAUGAGUAUUGGGAGCGAUUCAAACAAUUGUGUGCCAGCUGUCCUCAGCAUCAGAUUUCUGAUCAACUUCUUAUUCAAUAUUUUUACGAAGGACUGUCAUUAAUGGAUAAGAGUAUGAUAGAUGCUGCUAGUGGAGGUGUGUUGGUGAACAAGACCCCUACUCAAGCAAGGGAGUUGAUCUCAAAUAUGGCUGCCAAUGCACAACAAUUUGGCAGCAGGCAAGAUGCCACUUCAAGAACGGUGAAUGAGGUAAAUAUUUCUUCUGUUGAACAACGUUUAGAUAAACUUACUUCUCUUGUGGAAAAGUUUGUUGUAGGUAAUGUGCAACAGGUAAAGACUUAUGGCAUUUGUUCCAAUAUGGGUCAUUCAACUGAUAUGUGUCCUACACUUCAAGAAGAACCCAUUGAAUAAGCCAAUGUAGUUAGAGGAUUUCCAAGCAUGCCUCAGAUGAGGUAUAAUCCUUAUGCACAAACAUACAAUCCGGGAUGAAAGGAUCAUCCCAACUUAAGCUAUGGAGUUAGGCCGUCAGGAUUCCUACAACAGUAUCCACCAAGACAACCAGCACUUCCACAGUUAAACUCCAAGUCAGGUAUAUCUCUUGAAGAAAUUGUUAAAUCACUUGCGACUAUCACUCAACAAUUUCAACAGGCAGCUACAGCAAGCAUUCAGAAUUUGGAGAAUCAAAUGAGUCAAUUGGCGACUACAGUGAGCUGUCUGAAGUCUCAAGUAUUAGGGAGGUUGCCUUCACAAUCUGAAGUGAAUCCAAAGCAAAACAUUAGUGCUGUCAUCCUUAGAAGUGGGAAGGAGUUAUAAGAGCCUAGUAAGAAAGUGACAAAGCAUGUAGAAGAUGAGCUUGAGAAGAAUGAAUUGAUGCCUAAAUCUCAAGAUGCGCAACCUACCAGAGCGAAACCCCUACCUAUUAUGAUACCUCCUCCUUUUCCAAGCCAGUUUGCAAAACCCAAGAAAGAAGAACAAGAGAAAGACAUCCUUGAGACAUUUCGCAAGGUUGAGGUAAAUAUUCCUUUAUUAGAUGCUAUAAAACAAAUACCUCGAUAUGCUAAAGUCCUUAAGGAACUGUGCACCUCCAAGAGAAAAUUAAGAGGAGAUGGAAAAGUUCACAUGAGGGAGAAUGUUUCAGCAGUUCUCUAAAAGAAACUACCUCCUAAGUGCAAGGAUCUAGGUAUGUUUACUAUCCCUUGUAAAAUUGGUAGUGUUAGAGUUGAAAAGACUAUGUUAGAUCUAGGAGCUUCUAUUAAUGUCAUGCCUCGUUCCAUUUAUUCAUCUUUGAAUGUUGGUCCAUUAAAAGAAACUGGCGUGAUCAUUCGACUAGCUGAUAGGUCUAAUGCAUAUCCUGAUGGGAUAUUAGAAGAUGUCUUAGUACAAGUUAAUGAGUUGGUUUUUCCUGCUGAUUUUUAUGUACUUGAUAUGGAAGAGGAUAACUCCUCUAAUUAUGUCCCAAUUUUGCUAGGAAGACCUUUUCUUAAGACUGUUAGGACUAAAAUGGAUGUACAUAAAGGGACUCUCACUAUGGAGUUUGAUGGAGAGGUUAUAGAAUUCAAUAUGAAUGAUGCCAUGAAAUAUCCUAGUGAGGAACAUUCGGUAUUUUCUGUGGAUGUUAUUAACCUUAUAGUGCAGGAAGUUUUUUACAAGGAAAAGACGAAGACAUUUCAUGAUAGAAUGAUUUUGAGAAAGGAGUUCUCUAUUGGUCAAAAAGUUCUUCUUUUUCAUUCUAAGCUUAAACUUUUUCCGGGUAAAUUACGUUCUUGUUAGGUUGGACCUUUAAUUGUUACUAAUAUUUUUCCUCAUGGUGCAGUUGAGAUUCGGAGUCCGACCUCUGACAAAGUUUUUAAGGUUAAUGGUCAUCGCUUAAAACCUUUUUAUGAAGGUUUUUCAGUGAAUAUUGUGGAGGAUGUGGCUCUCGAGAGUCCCAAUUAUGGAGAUUGAUGCAUAAAUGUGUCUAGCCAAAGACAUAAAACAAAUGCAUUUUUUGGGAGGCAACCCAAAUGAUUUAUUUAUUUUGGUUUUUGUUAUAUCUUCUUUUAAUUUUGAUUCAGAUUUUUUUUAAAAAAAAAAUUAAUGUGUUUGCUUAUUUUGGUCAGAAGAAAAUUUUUAAUAAGGCGUGCCCACGUGCUUAUUAGAAAUGUACUUCUGAAAUUUUUAGUGUCUCAAAGUGAUUCAUCACUAAAAAGAAAAAAGAAAAAAAAGAGUUUUUUCCCAUAUUUUCUUUCUUAUAUAUAUAUUUUUUAUUUAUUUAUAAAAAAAUGACAAAAAAAGUUUUUUUCCUUCUUUUCUUUCUUAUAUAUAUAUAUAUAUAUAUUUAUUUAUUUAUUAAAAAAAACACAAAAAAACAAAAAUCACAAAUCACUGUUCACAAAUCCCUAAUUCAAAAAAAUUCACUGUUGAUUAUCGUUUUCCCGCAGCAACCCUUAGCUCCAGCGUGCAGAACCAGCAGCAGCCGCAUCAGUCCCACCUGCAACGCAACCAGCCUACGCCAUGUAUUUCAGCCGGGUAAAUCGAAAUCCGUGAGUGCAAUUAUUGUAACAAUGCCGAAGAGGAAAGCAUCAACUUCCAAGUCAUCUAAAAAGACACCCAUCGCAAAGAAAUCCAAGAUUGCCGCUCCCACUACGAUUCCAUGGAACACAAUUUCAUAUUCACGCCAAGCCGUGAGACAAAGAUCGAAACAUGGAAAAGGCAUGAGUGUUUUGCCACUUGCGGAAUCCAAUCUCGGAGGAUGCCUCGCAUUCGCGACUCAACAAGAGAAAGAGAGGUACAAAGAUAUUUCCAUGCGCAAAAUACUUCCAGCUAAGUAUAUUCAUUACCCGACUCUUGAAAAAUUGAAUGUUAAGGAUAAUUUUGAUUCUUUGAUAGAUAAGAUUGGGUUGCGUAAGUUUGUUAAUGUUGAUUGUUUGGGUUAUAUUGAGUUGAUUAGGGAGUUUUAUGUUACUUUUCAAUUUAAUAUGCCGAAUGAUUUUACUUUGCAUACCCUGGAUGUCAUAAAGUUUAGGUUAAUGGGACAAAAUUUUUCACACUCUAUCACCGAUUUUAACCUAGCUUUAGGAUUCAUUGAUGAUGAUUAUUCUUCUAGUGAUGUAUAUUUAGGAACAACUUGUGACUUUAGCGAAAAUUUUGAGCCUUAUGAUCUUUGGCGUAAUUUAUCUGUUGAUCACAAUACCUAUGACCCGAGUAAAUCAAAGAGUUAUUUCUUACGUGAUCCUGUUUUGAAAUGUGUGCAUCGAUUCUUAGCAUAUAAUUUUGUAGGCAAGAAAGAUCACUCAGGAGUUUUCUCUAAAACUGAAUUUUAUUUUAUCUGGUGCAUGUUAAAUGAUGUGAGGCCUAAUUUAGGUUUUUGGUUAGCGGAUCAAUUUCAAAGUGUGCUUAAAUGGUAUAGGACUUUAUUUCUUGGUCCAUACAUUACUCUGUUAGCUAUAAACCUAUGUGCGCUUGAUCCUGACAAUAAUGAUUUGCAUUCUGCUUGCAAAAAGGAAUUUUUGGAUAUGUCUGUGUUUGAAAGAACAGGUGUGGUCGAAUUCAAGGAGGGAGAUUUCAGUUUACUGAACCAGGACCCACUCAACCUCCAAAGAAGCUUUAUCCUAGGAGUGGUGCUACCUCUGAUAACGAGUUUGACGACGACACUGCUGCCCCGCCAACUAUUCCUUCUACAUCCGCACCACCUUUGAGCAUUCAGUUAGAGAAAAUGGAGCACAAGCUGAACAUGAUGGAGCAGAAUUUGGCCGCAUACUUCGAGAGUGUGAGAUUUAUCCCACCAUUUCCGCCAAGCCCAUAAACGUUAUGUGGAUCAAAGCUCACAAUUCAGGGAAGUUUUUGCCUUUAAUCUUUUAUCCUUACGCUUUAAUUUUUAUGUGAGCUUUGAUUAUCUUACAUUGGGGACAAUGUAAGUUCUUGGUGUGGGGGAGGGAUUUUUGUAUUAUUGAUGUCUGGAAAUAUUAUUUUCACUCUACUCAUCUAUUUUCACUUUACUCAUCCUUAAAUAAUUUUGGAGUUAGUAUGCUUCAUAUAUUAUUAAUUUUCUUUUCCUUUCUCUCUCACUACUCUUUUCCCAUCUAUCUCAAAUUAUUUACAUCUAUUUUUUUUUCUAUCAUACUCUUUCAUCACUCACAUUUUAUCUUUCAUUUUUUUUACUACAUACAUCUUUCUCGCUUAUUAUCCUUUUUACCUUUCCUUUUAUAUCUCACUCAUACCUUCUUCUCAUUCUACACCACUAUUGAUGGUUGAUUCAUUUGAAGAGUGUACAUGAUUUGAUGGCAAAUUUACCAACUUUGUGAGGAUUUAAGCCUAUGAGCAACCACUUUGCUCUAAUUAUUUUUGUUAUGUGAAUAUCAAUCUUAGUUUGUAUAUUCUAGAACUUGCUUUGUUAUGCAUGUUGAAGCCACAUUACGGGAUUUUAUGCAUUAAAAUGAUAAGGGCAAACCAUUUACCAUUUUUAUAUUCUUGCAUUUUGUUUUUUCUCUACCCGAAGACAUUUAUUUGCUACCUUUGUUUGAGCCUUAACCAUUACCCAUCUAAUUCUCUCCGUCUACUUAACCAUUUUUCUUCUUUUUGAGCCUCAAUUUAAGGAGAUUUUUGGACUCAUUGUGUGGAUAUAUUUUGUUGCUUUUUCUACCUUGUAUUAAAGUUUCUCAAUUAGAUCAACAAGCAUUAUGCUUGAAUUAAAUUGUGCAAGGUUUGUUUCUUUUGUUUGAUUCAAAAAAAAAAAAAAACAACAACAAAAAAAAGGAAAAAGAAAAAAAAGAGAAAAAGAAAAAUCGAAAAAAAAAUUGAAAAAAAAGUUUACAUUCCUCAGUGACUUGAGUAGAAAUAAGCAUUUUGAUAUCAUAAGUUCAUUCAAUGAGUUCAUUAUUCUCAUUUUGAUCUCUUUUUCUUUCAUAGACCUUUCUUUUUCAUUUAACCUAUUUAACCCCAUUACAACCCUUUUAAGACCCUUAGAUUUUUGCAUUUUAUUAAUGUUUUGUGGAUUGAGAUGUGAUAUAUGAGCAAGCUUAUGGUAAUAGCAUUCUUUGAUUUGAUUUGAGUGAAUAAAUGACACCCUAAACACUUUGAGUGCAUGGAGUGAAGUCAAUGAGAGGGCUAUUAAAUCUUGUUGCACUUGAAUUUUGAAUGGAUCUUCUUGGUGGUUGAAUGUUCUUAUUCUAUCUUAUGAGAUUCUAUGCUUUAAAAUCCUUAUCUCUCGAAUGUUGAUCGACUUAAUUUUUUAGUUUAAACGUGUUUUGUAUUUUUGGUUAUUUUUGUAAUUACGAAUUUAAUAUUUCAGAUAUUAGUAUUUUAUUUUAAAUAGAAUUCUAGAGGAGAAGAGAGUGAGAGUAUUUAAGGGAGGAAUCUAUUGUGAAAAGGGAGAUUGGAGAAAAAGAAAGAAACCCUAGAUCUAAAUUUUUCUCUUCUCUCUAUGAAGAACUAAACCUAUUUUUUUGGUUGAAGGUUAAUGAAGCUUUGAUUCAUCACUACUGUGAGAUCUUUCUUAUGCUUUAAUUGUUUUAUUGCUUUUUUGGGUAUUUGUUUAUUCUCUGAAUUAUUUUCAUGAUUAUGUUUGUUAAUUAAGUAAUUGGCCACUAUUUAAUUAUCAACUUAAUCUAUUGUCAAUUAAAGGAUUCAUCGUAUGAAGAUUUUAAUGUUUGUGACAAAUAACAUAGCAGAGAGUUGUGUUAUGAGAAUAAACAAUCUAAUUUAAAUUAAACAUCGUAUGUGUUGAUUAUGAUUUGAGUCUCUCUGGUUUUUCAGGCUGUCAAUUGAUUAAAUCAUAUGAUCGUAUCUAGGGUUGUCUAUUGAUUAGGGAAAUAACCAACGGUCGUACCUUAGUUAUCGACUAGUUAAGGAGAAAUUGGCUAUUAGAGGGUCUCAGUAGUUAUAACCAGUCUAUUCAUAAGUAGCAAUAAUUUAUAUUUGAAUCAAUGAUCAGUAGCCGAAUUAAGCUGAGUUAAUUCCUUCAACCAGAGCUUUCUCCAAUUUGAAUUACAACUUUAAUUUGCAUUCUUGUUAUUUUAAUUUGAUUUUUUAUUAUUGUCAACGAAACCCCCAUUUUAUGUUUUACGUUUUAAAAAGAUUUAAAUAAUUACCGAUCUUUGUGGACACGACCCUGCUCAAUCACUAUACACAAUUUAUUUAGAGUAGGUAUUUAUUUUUGCUGGCUUCGACAACCAUCAACAACACAUGAUAAGUAAGUGGUUAAUUGAGACACAAAUAAAAGAUUAUAAUCUAAAGAUUGAACAAUUAACACUGAUUCUAAAUUUAAUUCAUCUGUGAGUCGUAAAGAUCCUUCCCCAAUAACUGAGGUUGUGGUUCCAUUUGCAGUGGAAAUAUGUUUUUGUGAAGAUGGUUUCAAUUGAGAAACUUGUCGAGAAUCAAAAGUCAUAUGAUCAAUUGCCCCAGAAUCAAUUAUCCAUGUACUAUUAAUAACAGGUGUAAGAGUUUUAAGGGCCUUACCUGGACUGACAGAGGUUGCGAUUUGCACUGAAGAAUCUUUUCUAAGAUCUGUAGUGGAUGUGGAUUCAGCUACUGCAGUUUUUGAUCCCUGCUUGGUGUUCUUCUUUCGAGUAUCCCACCAGUCAGGAUAUCCAAUGAUUUCAAAACAUUGUUCUUUUGUAUGACCAUUCUUCCUACAAUGAGUGCAAUGGAGUGAUGACUUGUCAACAAGCUUCCUUUGAGGCUGUUGUCGUGCUAUCAUAGCAGACGUUUAUGAGUCGACCUUCUUGUUUAGUUUGUUUUGCCAUACAUCUUAUCUCCGGAUAAGAGAAUAACAUUCUUCUAAGUCUGGGAUAAUAUCUUUUCAUAGAAUUUCUCUACGAACUUGGUCAAAUUCUUCAUCUAGCCCAGCAAGAAAAAUGUGCACUCUCAAUCUUUCAACAGACCUUCUGUAUAUUACAACAUCUUCUGGAUCUUUCAUGACCACUUUAUCUCGAUGAUCAAGUUCUCGAAAUAUUUCGAUCAAUUCUCCGUAGAAUUUAGAGAGUGGUUGUCCAUUUUGCUUGGUAGAGAACGCCUUCUGGUUUAGAGUGAAAACUUGUAAUUCAUCGCUUCCAUCAUAGAAGGCUUUUGAUAAUGCAUCCCAAAUUUCGUAGGCUGUAGGAAUUCGUAAAUAUCACUUCAUGAUCUCCGGAGACAUGAGUAACCAUCGUUUUACUUUUUGGUUCUCACUAUACCAUUUCUCAUAUUCUUUUGAAGAUUCCUCAUAUAGCUUUGUGUUGCUACGAAUACAUGAGAGUUUUUCUCUUUCUGCGAGAUGCAUCUCCAUUAUUUGAGACCAAACAUCGUAGUUUGUCUCAGUGAGGAUAAUUCCAGCAUUAAAUAUUCCAUCAGAUUGAACAGAUUGAAUGACUAUUGUGCAAAUUUAUUGAACUCGCAAGUGCACGAAUUUAUUGUAGUAUAGAUCAAUGGUGAUGAGUGUCGAUCCCACGAGGAGGUGGAUUUUAAUUAUAUGUAGAAUUAAUUUUGUAUGAGGGUGGUUGGAUUUGUGGUGAAAAUGAUUUGGAUUAUCCUAAAAUUCGAAUUAAAAUGGCAAGAAUAAAUUGAAGUGAAAAUCUAUUAAAUUGACGUACUUGGGUAUCUGGAUCCGUAUCAACAUGCACCAUGGGCUAAAUAUUCCUUAUUAAUGCCAAUUGAAUCAUGAGGGUGGAAUCCACACCUCAUGAACCACACUCUAAUCAAUAUGGUGCUAAGGGCUUAUCAUGCCAAAUAAUAAUAACCUUGUACUAAGGAGCCGGUGUAACCAAUGCGGUAUCUAGACAAGAUUAUUAUUAUUUGUCGACGAAAAGUCAAAUCAUCCACAAAAAUUAGAGGGGAAAAGAAAAUAAAUUUACCAAAUAAAGCCCAUGACACAUGUUGAGACUUCACCUUCAACCCAAGCUUGAAAGAAAAUUAGCUACUUAUAAUUGAACUAGGGGCAAAAUGAAAAUUUAUUAAAAUACGUAGAAAAUACAAGAUGGAGAAGAAAUUACAGAAAAUGGAUCCCAAAAAUGGAUUCAGAGAUAUCAAAUUAGGGGGGGGGGGGAGGCCCCUUUUUUAUAGAUACAUUGAGUAAAUCGUGGCCAUCGGAUUAAAAACAGUUUGGACGCUCAGGAUUUUGCCACGUCAUCAGUCAACAGUACGCGGUUUGACCACGUGGGUGAACAGUAACACGGUUUGACCCGGGUUGAACAAUGAUGCGGUUUGGUUGAAAAUAAUCCUGUGUAAUGCAUGUACCGUACGCGACAUUUUUGGUCCACUGAUAUGCUGCCACGUCAUCGAUCAACAGUGCAUAAGAAUUUUAGUCCAACAGGAUUGUGACACCUCAUCAGUCAAUGCCACAUCAUCGGUCAAUGCAACGUCAUCAAUCCGUCUAUGUGAACAGUGUCGUGAACAGUAACGUAGACAGUAUCAUAUAAGUGAAUAGUACCAUACAUGUGAACAGUGCCAUUUUUCCUUUUAUGCUCCUCCUAAGGUUUUCGACCGUCCUGAGUUCAAAAGUGAUGUCCGUUUUGCCAUCUGAUCUCUCGUUCAUUGUGAAAUGACUAUAAUGCCCCUAAAAUACAUAAAAUACUUAAUUAAAAUAAAACACACAUAAUUAAAUGACAAGAAGUUUAAAUACAUAAAAGUAAGGGUGUUAGUAAAACUUAAAGUGUAAAAUGACGAUUUUCUCCUUUAUAACUAUACAUUUUCUAACACUCAACAAUGACAACAGGAGCAGAUUCAGUUGGAGUUUUCUCCAUUUUUUGUUGUUUUUUUUUUCUCUUUUUCCUUUUUUUUCUCUUUUUUUUUCCUUUUUUUUUUGGCGCCUAGAUUGAAAUAAGGGAAAAUAACCUUUUUAGAUCAAAGAACGACAAGUCAUUUGGCCUCUGCUUGACGAAACGACAUGUCGGUUCUGAUGGAAUAUAAACGACAUGUCGUUUGACGACUGCUGCACUUCUGGAGAUUGAACGUGACGUCGUUUUAUCUCUAAUUUACAACCGACAUGUCUGUUGUAAUGUAAUAAAAAAUGACACGUCAUUGUAUUACCAGCUGCACUCUUGAGAUAAAAAUAAAAUGUCGGUUGAUGUCUUCUUCAACCUCUCGAGCGCGUGAAUAUGACAGAGGCGCAUGGUUGACUGGCCGUGGCUUCCGGUGGCACGUGGGAGCGCGUGGAAAUGUGUUUAAAUGCCAAAGUUUUACAGUUUUCUUACUGGAAACUGAGAAAUAUGAUGGUAUUCUUGGUUUUUUAGGAACACACUCUUGGAAAAUUAAUGGGAUUGCUGAUAAAUUUGUAAACUCAAGUUUUUUACGUAUGGGUGGCUUGUUUCUUGAUCGGCAUGGAUUUCGGUAAUGGUAGGAAUGGGUUUAAGGAAGAAAAUGGUGGGAAAAAAAUGGUUGUGGGAGGAAUUUGGUUUCCUCUGUUUUUAUUACGAACAGAGCUGCGAAACUUGAAGAAACUUGAAGAAACUUGAGCGUAUUCAUGGCUCUGAUACCAUGAAGAAACAUGUUUUUAUUUCUUGAAAUAAAACAUUAUACACUGAGAGUUAUUUAUAGAUGCAGAUGCUACAUUUUUUCAAAGAUUACAUAUGUGAAUAUGGAAGGAAAUGUGUCAAUCCGUUCGGCGUGGAUCGUGUCUUUGACAAAUGCAGAUUAUCCCUUUGACAAGUGCGGAUUAUGUCUUUGAAAACUUUCUCCAAUGCCAUUUUAUUCAACAAAUACGAUCUCAUCAGCUAUUAUAUUAAUUUCUAUUUUGCCAUUGCAUGAAAUUAUGAAAAAAGGAUAUUGAAGAGUUUCUUGCCACAAAUUGAACCUGCAUCUCUGUAAGCAUUACUCUUGCAUUUUCGCGGAAAAGGGAGUAAGUGAAUGGCCUAAAUUCAUGGUUCAUUUCAUAUUAUGGAGUUUCUUUCUUCAGGAUGAUUUCGGCUGGAAUUCUCAUAAUUUGCGUCCAAAAAUCCACUAUUGAUAGGCUUAGUGCUUGCCAUUUUGCCUUUACAGCUGGUAGUGGUUGUAUGCUUGUUGGAUUAGUCAAAAAAAUCAAUUGGCAUUGGUCACAAAUUUUUUAUUCAAUUUUUUAUUCGAGCUGAGGGAUACAUACAGUAGUAGACGUCGUGUUCUAUGUUCUCUUUCCCAUAUAUAUAACUAUAGUAAGAGAUAUAUAUGGCUUUUAUAUAAUUCUCAAUAUCAUAGGCGGUAAACAUGGACUCUUGGCUAAAAGACAAUAUGAACAUGAAACCAUUUCACGUGGGUGAUCAAUUAAUAACUUUCAUUUUUUUUACUUCUUAUAGAAGUCAGAAGAGAGUGUACCUGCGACCAGUGGCGGUGCCAAAAAUUAUUUUUAGCGCGGGCUACGUUCACAUAAUAGUUUAAUUCAAGAAAGUAAUCAAUAAAUAACAUAUAUCAAAAUAAAAUUUCAUUAAAAUAUUUAAUUCAACACACUUAUAAUUGUCUUCGACGAGGUUUCAUAUGUUGAAAACGUUGAAGAAUAACUUCAUUGUCAAGACUACAAAAUAUAUCAUUUUUUAUGAAUACAACAAGGUUAUCAUUCAACCAUUGAUCUCUCAUCCGAUUUCGCAGACGGUUUUUCACAAAAUUCAUAGCCGAAAAUGCCCUUUCUAUUGUAACUACGGCAACUGGUAAAAUCAAUGCUAAUGUCACCAAUAAAUAAACUAAUGAAUAUAAUUGAUCCUUUUUAGUCUCAACCAAUUUUCUUGCUAGCUCACCAAUCCCUUUCAAUCUGAAAAUUUGUUGUUAGAACCGACAUCCAUAAUAUAAACAUCAAAUUGAGUUUCAAGUGCCACAAGAUCCAUUAGAGAAAAAUCAUUUGGAUAAAACUCAGCAAGGUGAAGUAGUUUCUAUUUAUCAAAAGCUGCAAAUGAGUCAUUGGGGCAUAGACAUGCCACACAAAGAAGUAGGGGUGGGCAUCGGAUCGGAUUCGGAUUUGAAGGCAAAUCCGAUUGGAUGAAGUCUGUGCGAUCUGAUCGGAUUUGGUUCGGAUCGGAUCGAAUUCGGAUCAAUCCGAAUCAUCCGAUCGGAUCUGCACUAUAAACUAAAAAAAAGAAAAUUAAAUAAAUAAGCGAAAGUACUAAAAAAAUAAGUUUAACUCAUGUUCGGAUUCGGACUUCGGACUUCGGAUCACUAGUGCAGUCAGUCAGUCACCACUCACCAGUUCACACUUCACAUUGUUCAUCUCACUCUUAGAUCUUACGUCUCAGUCACAGACUCACAGUACCAACUCAAACUGACAUUAACAAAAGACACAGGACUCAGCGAGCACGAGCAGCAGAGCAAAAGCAAAAUGCCAAAUCCAGCUUCAUCUCGUCAUCCGUCUUGAACCCAUUAACGAGUAACGACCACGCCAAAACUCAGCUGCCGCCGGCCCGCUGACACCAAUCGACUGGAAGCUAGCCGAUUUCAACUGAAACCCAGGCGAACGAAACCAAAUUAAUCGACCUAAACCCAGCUGAAACCCAGCUGACAGCUGCCUCUUCAACCACCGAACUGAUCACGUCCAGCGCCGGCCAGUUGCCACGCCAAACGCCGAUAAUCCACUUCCACUAUUCCCAAGCACCUAGCAACUUUAUUCAUGGUAAGCAAUUAAACCAGACCCAUGACAAUUGAAAGUUAACACAACUCAGAAUUUCAUGCUUCUUUUCGACUUUUAGGGUUUUUUUAGUUGUAUUACUGCUUGGAAAAUGAAAAACCGAAAAUGCCACCAAAUGGUUUGGGCCAAACCCGAGAGCAAGCGGCUAGCUCCCAAACCCGAGAGCAAGACAUGAAUUGUUCUGUUUUUUCCUUUUAUUUUUUCUAAUGUAUGAUUAUUCAUUUGUAAUAUUAGUUGAGAAAGACAUGAAUAUGUAUUGAUGUAAAAUUCAAAUUUAUUAAUUAUUAAAUAAUCAUCAUUAUUUAAUGCAUGAUUAUUCAUUUAUAACAUUAGUUUAUUAAUUAUUAAUAAACUAAGGAACAAUAUCAAUUCUUUAAAAUUAAAAAUUCAACUUCAUACCGUACAUUGUGGUAGUAGAAUUAUUUUAUGAUAAGUUAAUGUCAUUAAUUGCUUUAUUUCCAAAUAAUAAUUUGAUGAAUGAAUUUGUAUAGCUAGUAAGCUAGGCUGAAGAGAUUAUAUAUAGUCAAAAGUUAUAUUUAUUUUUUAGUUGAAAAUUCAUAAACGAAAGUUACAGAACAAUGAUGAUUGAUAUGAUUUUUUUAUUUUCAGAUGACUGGACAUUCAAAAUCAAAUUCCAAUGAUGAAGAUGAAGUUGAAAGUGUACAAGUACCCACAGAAAAGACAAAUACAAAGCGGAAGAAUCCAACUCAGAGACGACCAAUAAAGAAAAGAUCUGAGACAUGGAAUCAUUACACUGUACUUGAGGACAAUCAAUAUAAAGCAAAGUGCAACUAUUGUGGCAAGAUAUAUCAGUGCCAUCCUAGGUUUGAUGGGAUUAGCAAUAUGGGAACUCAUUUAAAAGUAUGUGAAGCAUACUUGAACGUGAAGCGAGAGCAAGAUGAAAGACUACAAAAAUUGGCAGCCGAGAGUGGUGAAGGAAAUGCAAGUAAUAUGGUUUUGGCUAAAGGAUGGAGUCAAGAAGCUUGUAGAAGGACAGUUAGUAAAAUGAUUAUCUUGGGCAAGUUGCCGCUUAAUUUUGUUGACAACAAAGGGUUUAUGCAUUUUUGCAAUGUAGUUGUUCCUCAGUUUAUUAUGCCAUCUUGGAGAACUAUUAGUAGAGAUGUUAUGGAUAUGUUCUUGGAAGAAAAGGGAAUUUUGAAGAGUUUGAUAUGCAAGAAUAAGCAUAGAGUGUCUCUUACAACUGACAUAUGGACUUCAGUUCAGAACAUGAGUUAUAUGGUAAUCACAGCUCACUUUAUUGAUAGUGAUUGGUGUUUACAUAGGAAGAUUAUUAGUUUUAGCGUGAUUGAAGACCAUAAAGGGAAGUCCAUUGGCAAAAAGAUUUAGUCUUGUUUGCUUGAAUGGGGAAUAGAGAGGGUGUGUGCAAUAACUGUUGAUAAUGCGUCGGGCAAUGAUGUUGUUAUUGAUUAUGUGAAGAACCAAAUGCUUAUGUGGAAGAAUGUUGAUGCACUUGUGUUGCGGGGUGAUUACAUGCAUGUGCGUUGUUGUGCACAUAUCUUAAAUUUGAUUGUCACUAGGGGGUUAAAAGAGUUGCAUGCCUCAGUUGCCGGUAUUCGGAAUGCUGUGAAGUAUGUUAGAUCAUCCACUUCGAGAUUAAAAGCAUUUAAACAGUGUGUAGAUCAUGUGAAAGGCCCUAAUGGAACUGUGGUUUUGGAUUGUAUCACUAGGUGGAAUUCCACCUAUUUGAUGUUGAUGACUGCUUUGAAAUUUGGGGAGGCAUUUGAGAGGAUGGCAGAAGUGGAUAAACCGUAUGAAGCAUACUUUAGAGAGGAAGAAAACGAGAAAAAAAAGGGUAGGGCCACCUGAGCUUGAAGAUUGGGAACAUGCCGAAAGAAUUGUGAGGUUUUUAAAGAUCUUUAUGAUGCUACAUUGACUUUUUCAGCCUCUUUGAGUGUCACUUCUAAUCUUUGUUGCGAUACAAUUGGCUUAAUCGAGAAUCCAUUGAGUGCAUUAGAAAAAAGCAAAGAUGUUUAUGUGCAUUUGAUGGCUUCUAGUAUGAGGGAAAAAUAUGACAAAUAUUAGGAGUGCACAGAGAAAAUCAACAAAAUCAACAAAAUCUUGAUUAUUGCCUCAAUACUUUAUCCGCAUUGCAAAAUGGAUUUUACUAAACAUAUUUUUAGUAUGAUAUUUUCCGAUGAUAGUGCAAAGAUUGAAGAAAUGGUCGCGGUGAUGAAAGGCUUGUUAAAUUCACUUUUUGAUGCAUAUAGUGGAUGGAACUCCUCACCACCAUUGUCUAGUGAGAGUUUUCGUAGUGGCAGUGCCAGUGGUGGCGGUGGCGGUUCUAGUUCUUCUCCGCACCUUAUAGAUGACACGGAUCGGCAACAAGGGUACAUAAUGGAACAUGGUGAUGAUACUUUACGAGUUGCUCGCCCUUUUCUUGGAUAUGCUAAGAAAGUUUUAAUUCAAAACGAGGGCAAGCUUAUGACGACCGAGGUGGAAAGAUACUUACUUAACCCGAUUGAAGAUCCUAGUAAUGAUAAACUAAAUUUUUUAUUAUGGUGGAAGGUGAACAGGUCGAAGUAUCCGAUAUUGCAGAAAAUAGCAAGGGAUAUCCUUGCAAUUUCGGUAUCCACUGUGGCUUCGGAGUCCGCCUUCAGCACUGGGGGUCGUAUCAUGACGAAUAUAGGAGUUCUUUAACUCCCACUAUGAUUGAAGCAUUGAUUUGCACUGAAAAUUUGUUGCAGUCUAAACUUUUUUGCCACUCCUAUCUACGACCUUAAUCAAGAGUUGAAAGAUCAUAUAUAUCAAAUGGAGUUACAAGAGGGUAACUUUUUUAUAUUACAUUUUAUAUAGAAUACCUUUUAAAUUUAUUAUAACACAUUUUUUAUAUUACUCGUGCACUAAUUAUAAGUUAUUAUGUUUUUUUUUUCAUUUUAAAGAGUAUGUACAAUCACAAGCUUCAACAAUUACAAGUUACAACGAUGGGUGCUAGUAUUCGUCAUGAUAUUUGAAUAGGUAAGGUAACUCUUAAAUUUAAUAAAUCUUUUGGUUUCAAGGUAUUAUAUUUAUAAUUGUUUUACUUUUGGUUUUAAGUCAAUUGUAACAUGAUAAUUGUUUGUGAUCUUAUGUUAGGAAAAUUGAAGUUGGUAGUUGGAAAGCAAAAGUUAAGGAUUCAUCAAAGUGUGUUGUGAGUUUAAUUUGAUAUUAUUGUACUUUUGGUUUGAGGAACUUGUAGUCUAUCUAAAUGUUUUGGGAUGAUAAUUUUUAUUUUGGUUUAUUUUAUUGUUGGAUGAUAUAAUGAUAAUAUUUAUUUUGUGAUUUUGUGUUGUUUAUUUAUUUGGAGACUUGGAGUAAUGUUUAAUUGUUUAUUUUGUGUUGUUUGUUGGGAGACUUGGAGUAAUGUUUAUUUUGUGUUGUUUACUUGGAGACUUAGAGUUGGAGCAAAGUUUAUUUUGUGUUGUUUAUUUAGAGGCUUGGAGCAAUGUUUAUUUUAUGUUGCUUAUUUGGAGGCUUGGACUUGGAGUAAUGUUUAUGCACCUAACUUGUAAGAGCAUUAGUGCAUUACUAAUUAAAUGAAAUGGGAGUGCUUGUUUUCUUGGUAUAUGUCAAUGCCAUAUUGUCAAGGAGACAAUACAAUAUAGAUUGUCAUUUGUUAGCUUGUUUUCAUUUUCUUUUUUUUUUUAAUGGUUAGUAAGUUUUCAUUACUUAUAGAUUUCAUAAUUUUUUUGUGAGAAUUGUGAAAAAGGUCCAAAUCCGAUUUCAAUCCGAAUUAAUCCGAAUCCAAAAUAUAAUCCGAAUCCGAAAAUUAAUCCAAAAUCCAAACUCAUCCGAUCCAAUCCGAAUCCGAAUUCAAUCCAAAUUUUCAUCCGAUCUAAAUCCGAUCCGAAUAAUUCGGAUCGGAUGAAAAUUCGGAUUGAAUUCGGAUGAAUUUUUUUUCAAUCCGAAUUAUCCGAAAUCCGAUCGAAUUCAUCCGAAUCCGAAAUUGCCCACCCCUACAAAGAAGCAACUCAGUAUUCGUCUUAUUGAAACGAUUGCUUAAUUCUUUAAGUUGCAUGUCCAAAAUUGCAUAAAAUAAUUCAACACGAAAACAAUGCAAAUUUGUGAUCUUUUGAGCCUUGCGUUGUGAUCUUUCUUGAGUUCGAAACAAAUCAUCCAUAUUCGGAACAUCAAUAUCAUGCUUUACACAAUAAGAAAAAGUUUCACCAAAUAAAGAGUCUCAUCCAUUUUCUCCAGUCUUUUGCAAGUUUCUCUUAUACACUUCAAUUAAUUUCAUAGCAUUCACAAUGUCUUGAUCCUUUUUUUGUAAUGCUUGUGAUAACUCAUGUGCAAAUCCAAGAAUAUUUUUCAUUAACAGCAGGCUAAACACAAAAUCAAAUGAUUGCAUUGACUUCAAUAACAUUCUAGCUUGAAAUCUUUGUUCAGAAUUUCCCUCAUUUGAAAUUAUCUCAAGCAUGUCAAUAAUAGAUGGAAACAUGGUGAUUAUACUCAAUAACGUACCAUAAUGUGAGCCCCAACGUGUAUCAGCAGAUCGCUUUAAAGUAACCUCUUGAUUUAAACCUCGUCCACUUGAAAGUUCACCAUCAUCAAGUGUUUUAAUAACUGCUUGAGCAUGUUUCUCUUGAAGAAUAUCACGACGUUUUGUUGAAGCACCAACAACAUUAACUAACAUUGUAAGAGAAUUAAUUAUGAGAAUUUAAAGAGAAACUGAAAACAAUUCCCAUGUCAAAAUGUAAAAACAAAUACAAAAAUACAAAAUAUUAAUUUAAUAAACUAACUACCCGAUUAAAUCCUCAACCACUAAGUUACUAAUCCAUCAUAGCAUCACGCCAUCACCAAUGGCAUUGUUAUUCUAUUAUUUAUAAUGAGUAAAGUUAAAAGCAUUGCCACUUUAUCAAGAAGCAUCGCCACUUUAUCAAGAAACAUGCCACAAUUAUUCUAUUCAAAAAGUAUAAACAAAUUCAAGAAUUGUAAUAUUAAAUUAUAAAGUGACAAAGAUGUUUAAUUAUUAAAAUAAUUUAGCCACUCGGCCUUUGGCCGAGUGGUCAGGGCAGCAAUUCGAACCCCCACAAAAGCAUUGUGGGGGUAUUUCCUUCCUCAAUUAAAAAUUGAGUGAAGGUAGUCUUCUUUUUUACCCAUGAGUGAGGAGUGGACAUCCCUCGAAUAUUUGUGAGGGUUAAAAUCUGGGCAGAGCUCCAUUAGUAUUGAUGUAAGUUGGUCCCAGUAAUAGUCUGAUUUGUAAAUAUCAGUUAUACUCUCAUGUAAUAUGAGUUGUAAUAUGAGCAAUAGUCUCAUGUAAUCAAAAAAAAAAUUAUCAAAAUAAUUUAAUCAAUUCUUAAUAAUUAAUCUAAAAGCUGCAAAGGUAUGACAGUAGUACCUGAAAAAAUGCAAAGAUGCAGACCAUGCGGUGGUGCAGGGCUCCGAGUGCCAACUGCAAGUUGUAGCAUAUAUGGCAUGAAAGCAAAGAGGUGUGAUGGCAUGAGAGUUUGACAGAGAUAGACGACAGGCUGAUCACUGAUGGUAGCCGAUGGAGUUUUUCUUUGGCAAAGGAUCGAUGGUGGUGGUUAGGGAUUUGAUUUUGAGUUUUUUUUUUUAAUUUCUAAUCGUUGUUUUAAAUAUUAGUCUUUUAGUUAUUUCAAAAAAAAAUUCAGGGACUUUAUUGUAAAUUCACUAAAAAAAGAUAAAUUUAAUUGUUUUUAAAAUUCUAGGGGGGCCUUCAGCCCCCAGCUCUCAAGUGGCGCCGCCUCUGCCUGCAACGUCAAUCGUAUCAAGCAAAGAUAUAGGACAUUUAAUAAUGAAAAAAUUAGGAAUUUUCAUGGACACACCAGUCGGUUCCGUAAAUAUAUAGAAUCAACUGAUUCUAGGUACCUUACAAUGUGAUUUUUUUCCCCUUGAAGAUAAGGACUAUUUUUUAGGAUACUGGCCGUUGAGGCUUUGUUUGUAUUUUUGCAAGAAAAUGGAAAAGGGUGGGCUAAAUCGCAAAAAAUAAAGCUAAUAGCUGCUAAAUUGAAUUUUUUAAGAGUGUUUUAAUGUGGAAUUUGAUUUGGGAACUUUUUUGUAGUUACAAGAAACAGCCACACCGGGUAACAAUUAGGGCAUUCUUUCAUAAAUUGGAUAUCAAUAGUAUCGAGUACGAAUGAGGAUGGUUAAAUGCCUAAUCACCCUAUUAAUCUUACAGUCGACAAAAAGCAAAAGCAAAAGCAAAAGCAAUAGCAUUACAAAUAGUAUAACUAUCAAAUUGAUUCACUAUGUCUAAACGACAAGUCAUCUAAAUAAUUUGUCAUCUAAUUACUAAAUUAUUUGACGCAACGACUGAUUUAGAAUUUUAAUUUAGAGGGGGCUUGGUACAAAUACUGUGAUUCACAGUAGCGCGUUCGAUGGUGCGAGUGAUCAACAACAACGACAGACAAGUGAGGCAAUGAUGAUGUAUAUGUUGGAAAUAUGAAUUCAUAUUGUUUUUUGAAAGUACACAAUAUGAAUAGUAGCUGUUGGUACUGUUACUUCACUAUUUACUAAUACUAUUGAUCUUACUGUUCACUCAACAACAAUCGUAAAUUUGUCAAGGUGUGUUCGAAGUGUCCUUAAGACUAAUUUUUGCUUCUCUAGAAAGAUUUUCCGAUACAAAAAAUAUAUAUAUAUAAAACGAAUUGAUCCCUAGGAUAUAAUGACAUUAUUGUGAGCUUGCACUCCAAGCACAAUAGUUUAGAAUAACAAAAGAAAAAUUAAUGAAAAAAAUAUAAGAUAGAAGAAUAGGUUACAAUGGUUGUGCCUUGAAGAUUUUGUAUUUUGAAAUACCAAUAAAACUCUAAGAAUAAGCUUAAAUAAUUUGAUCAAAAUUGCACUUUAAGAUGAAACACUAAUUAAUGGCCUUUCAAGACUUGAAUUGGGUUAAAUAGUUUAUGUACGAAAAUUGAAUUAUUGACAUCCCUAUCUCCUUUUAUAUAUUGUUGGUAAUAAAUCUAAUAACUUUAUGUGGUUGUGAUUCUUAAUGUAGUUUUUUUUAAUCGUUAGCUGUGUACGUGUCAUUAUUAGCAAUGUGUCAUUUUCAUUACUGUGUCAUUGUUGGCAGUGUGUCAUUUUCAUUACUGUGUCAUUUGUAGUAUUUAGAAUCAUUGGCCAAUAAUUUUGUAACAAGACCAACAUAUAGGGGUAAAUGACAAAUUCACGAGUGGGGGACAUACACCUGUUUAUAAUAUUGUAAAUGCAUUUUUUCAUGAGUUUACAGUGUUCAAAAGUAUUUUCUUCAUUCUAAGUGUGGACAUGCCAAUUUUGCAUAAUAGUCAUAUCCCAGAACAAAAGUCACAUUAAAAUUUUAUUCAUUUAUUCAGGUUUUUUUCCUGCAUUAACGAAUUCAUUGUGUAGGAUUUCAUUUUUAUGUAAACCAAUUCAGUUACGAGAAUCAACUACUAAUUUUUUUCCCGUUAAUUGGCUACGUUUACGUUAAUUAACUGAUAAAUAACUUUGCAUUAGCAAAGCCAAGAGAUUAAUUUAAACCCCUAAGAUUCAAAUAUUCUUUCACUAGUACUACUGGACAAAUUUGGCAAUCGAUAUUUCGGAAGACAUCAUCACACGUGUCAAACAAAAGUUAAAAAAAUAGCCAGUCCCAUUAAAAUCACCAAAUGCAAUCCAAUAACAUGCUCCAUUAUGUAUUGACUUUCAUGAGAAUUAGCAGGAAAAAAAAAAGUUCAUUUAGUUAAGCAAAUAGCAACCUUUGAUUGUUCUUUAACAUUACUAAAAAUCUAAUUCUUACUUUACUUGAUUGUAUUGUCGAAUCUUUCUGAAAAGGUAGAAGAUAAAUCCCAUUUAUUGGAAUUGUAUGUAGGACGUGUUUUGUUCAAAAUCAGUAAUUUGACAGUUAAGAAAUGAACAGAAAGUUGUUGAAGGUAGUGCAUGACGUCUCAUGCGCUUUAAAUUUCAAAAAUUUAUAUCUUUUUGACAUGGAAACUACUCAGCAAGGAAAUGGUGGCUCAACAACAUUAUAUAUAUAGAGCUCUCUAGGUGAAUUGAAGAUGAGAAUGAGGGAUUGCAUAAGCUACAAGAAUGAACGGUCAUUUGUAAAGUACAGCGAAUAGGGUCCAUUAGAUCAAAUCAAGUAGAGUAGAAGAAAAUGAAUACACUUAUGCUACAAUCAGUUUCAAUUUCUUUCAUCUGGUAACCGUCUAUAAACAAGAUACAAGCUCUAAGCCACCAAUGGGCUAUAAACAGAGCUUCAUUCAAGAGAGUUAAAGGUAUCCCAAGUUCUGAAAAUUGAGAGCAUGUACAAGUGAGCUUUUACAGAGAUUUUUCAGAGAAUGUUUUCUUAACUAUUCUAGAGGGAUUUAUAUUGGGUGUAUUUAGGUUAUCGGAUUUUGAGAAUUGUUCCCAUUCAAAGCCCAACCCCAAUUCAUGAGCCUAAAUAAUAAACCAAACAAAAGAGAAUAUUCUCUCAAUUUAUCUAGAAUUACUUUGCUAAAAAUAUCAUGAAUCAUUGGCGUUGUGGCAGUUUUAAAAUUUGGUGAUUCCUAAGAAAUUAAUGGUAAUAAGUUUAGAAUGUCGUUAUUUGUUAGGACCUGCAUUUAAAAUCUUAAAUAUUCGUAAUUAAUUAUAAAGAUCUCGGUUCACCUGCAAGCUACAACAAUUAGCUAACUGAUAUAUGGUAUUUUUUACAAAACUAUUCAAAAAGAAAGGGUAUAAUUAAUCAAACUGAUUUGGACAAUACCACACGAUUUUUUUUUUAUUGACAAACCAACAUAAACAACAUAUUAACGUAAAUAACGCAUUCACAUAUAAUUGUUUUAUUUAGUUAUUAAGAAAGACGAAGUACAUGGACGGUGGACACUAAGAAAUAUAAUCUCUUGUAUAUCAAGAGAUUUUAGAGGUUGAAAUGAACUAAACUGACCCUCACACAAUUAAUUGACAGUAAUUGACAGGUAAGAACAGUACCCAUCCUUUUAUUAACCAUAAUGGAAAAGAGUAAUACUGCGUGCGUGCGUGCGCUUAUUAACCAGUGUGGUCGGGAUUUCUUCCAUAUUGAGGGACAGCAAUAAGAUCAAGAUUGUCAACUGUCCCGUCCUUAUCAUCAGCAAUACCAUAUACAGGUACUGGAGUACCCUCCAACCAUUCAUUCUUACCUGAAAGUUUAACAUUAGAAAAUGGAUUCAUAAAUGCUUAUAUUAAUAUAUGAAUUGUAAAUGAUAUCCAUUCAGCUGAAAUUGGCUAAAAAACCUGCGCAAGGAAAAGGAGUUUCCAUAUUCUUCAAAUCAGAAAAGAUCUCCAGGUGAAGCGUAAUCAAAACUCAAAAAUAAGUAGAGCUUGAGCGUGUUCUUAGUUCUGGUUUGAUCUGAUAUAUAUAGAUUCAAGAAGCCGAUGUUGCCGAGGUGUGGGUGAUUGUGACGUAGCAAAACA